GUAGAGUUAAGUUUAAGAAAUUAAUUGAUAUCGAAUGAUAUCAAAUUUUGGUUAAGAUCAUUGACAUAUAAACAUGUUCAUUGAAUAUUUGUUUCAUGCAUUGACCAAAGUAAAGUGGGUUUUGAAUUAUGAUCAAAUUAACAGGAAGCCCAGCAGCAGCAAAGAUAAAGAUGAGAGUUGUGGAUGAUGUGAAGAAGUCCAUAGUUUAUGAAUUUAUGGAUGGAGAUGUUCUGAAGCAUUACAAAGUUUUUAGAGCAAAACUUGAAGCUGUUAAUGGAGGCUUAAACAAAGUUGGAGGAAACUUUGCAAAAUGGACUAUUGAAUAUCAGAAGGCAAAUGAAAAUGUUCCUUCACCAGAAACUUACAUGGAAUUGGCCGUCAAAGUUUCCAAAGGCCUUGAUGCAUAUAUUUUCAAGAACUAAUCAACAACUUAAGUUGCCCAUUGCCCUAAGUAAUUAAAUGCUGUUUCAACUUGGGAUUGCUCUUAAAUAAGAAAUGUUAUGUGUAAUGCAAUGUGUUAUGUUGUAUAAUUAAGGAUGUGGGCUUUGGUGUGUGUGUGUGUCUUUUUUUAUAUGUAUUUGAAAAUUUAUCUAUUUUGUGUGUAUUAAAGCUCUCAAAUGUGCUAUGAAUCCCCAUGUACUCAAUGUGAAAGACCAAUUUAAGGGUGUUCGAGAUUGCUUCUCUAGAUCAUAUAAGUGCUUGUGUUUUUUUAUUGUAAGCAGUUUAUUGAAAAGUAAUUUAGUGAUUAGUUAUUUUAAUGUUUGGUUUUUUGUGCUCUUACAAGUUUUUCUUCAUCCACACACACCCAUGUUGGUAGUAUAAAAGCAAUUCGAAAGAUUAAAUGAAUUAAUUGGAAAUAUAUCCUCAAUCACUCAAGAUGAAUUAAUCGUUUAAUUGUAUGCUUUGAUCUAUACACAAAUGUUAUAUUCUAUUAAAUUGAUUAAAGGCAUUUGGAGCUAAUUUUGAAAAUGACAAAAUGUUGCAUGCUUAAUAUUAUGAAGGGAUUGUUAAUGAUCAAAGGUUGAAAGAAUAAUGAAUUUCUUGCAUGAUUGGAUUGUCAAAGCUAAGUCUUAUAAACACGUAAGAAGCUAAUCCUAAACGUAUCUUUAUUAAUGAAACAUGAUGUGGCAUGACUGAAUAAAUAUUGUACAUGAACAUGUGGAGACUCAACAACUAUGCUAAUGAAUGCUAACUAACCAUACAAGGAGGAAAAAGAGAGGUUAUGAUGUAAUGUUAAUUUCUAACUUUGAUGAAAGAGAAAAUAUUUACGCGGCAACAAAAAUGGUCUACAACGACAGUUAUUUACUGUUGCGAACAAAAUCCAUGACAGUUAUUUUCAGUUAUAGAAGCGGGAGUUAUGGAAAGUCUUUCCAUGACAGUUUUCAAAAAUUGUCGCAAUAACUUAUUUCAUGACAUAAAAUAAAUGUCGUUAGUUAGCAUUCUACGACAUCAAAUAACUGUCAUAUUUUAUUUUAUGACAAUAAAUAACUAUCAUCAUUUAUGUAUUAAUGACAGUUAAAUAAAUGUCGUAAAUUUGUUUAUUGUGACAUGUUUUAAAUGUCACAGAUAUGUCAAUCGCGACAGUUUUUUUUUUUUAAAGAAAUGUCAUUGUUUUGCUAUUGACGACAUUUUUUUUCUGUCAAAGACAGGACAAUCGUGACAAUUAAUUUUGUAAAGAAAACUGUCAUUGUUUUGGUAUUCACAACAAUUAAUAACUAUCACAAAUUCAUAUAUUACGACAUGUUUUUUCUGUUGCAAAUUACUCGAUUACUACAAUUUUCUCCUGUUCUCUUUGCCACUCUGCCAUUACAAGAACCAUUUGAAUGACAAUAAUGUAGCCGACAAUGACAAUUUUGAAUUUAUAAUAUUGACACUCAUAUAGAAAAAAAUAGCCAACACUUUAAUAUAUAUACGCUAUAAUACAAUUUAUAAUAUUCGUACAUUUCCAAUCAAGUUCUAACAAUUUACAAGUACAGAAUCCCAACCUUUCAUCAAAAAAUAUUUUAAAUAGCAUCAGAAUACAUAUAACAAGAUUUUCUGCUAAAGCAUAAACGACCAACCGAGAAUGUUCGUCUCUGAAAAUGUUUUUUGAAAGUAAACUCAUAAAGUUGUCGACUCUAGUUGAACCUACAAAGACAACAUGAAUAUAAGCAUCCAUCAUAGGACAAGAGAGUACAACUCUUAUAGAAAAUUUCAACAUUGAGCAUUACCUAUCACUACAAUUCAAUAGUUUGUUUUAGCAUAUAUAACCACUAAAAUUGAAUAAUGACAAAUCAUCAAAGAGUGAAAAAUGGAAAGCCAAUAUCACAAAUAUAUCUUUAUUCCUAGUCCUUACAACAAAAAAGCCAAGACAAUUCCUAGUCCUUAAAGUUCAAGAGUUUGUAUUAGGCAAUCAUCGCAAAUAAAGAUGAACUAUGAAUAAUUACGCACCAAUUCUCUCAGAUUAUUAAAACAGAGAGUAAGAUUAUAGCAAGUACUCAGGUUCAUGACAAAAAAAAAAGACCUUAAAUGCAGUUAGCCAAAUUGCACCCCAAUCAGAGUUUUCCGCAACUACAAUAAUCAAGGAAUAACUUUUCCUAACAAACAAUGAAUGAGAAUAUAUACCAGUUUGUGGAAUGCAGUUGAUUGGGCAACUGAAGGGGUUCGUGUCAAAACAUACAUAUAUCGACGUACCAUUCAUUGCUGGCUUGCGACAAUUUAGGGCUAGAGCUUGUUACUGGAAUGGAGUGCCCAACGUUAUCCUAUGUGGCACGUGACAAAGUAUACCUUUGUAAGAUUCUCCAUUUGUUCAAAACAAAUUGAAAGGAAUAUAAGAAAAAGUUGUAUAACACCUCAUUAUUUGUUCCAUGAUCAAGCUGUCCAUAUUUUGAAAGACCACAUUACUAAAAAAACAAAAAUGCAAUAAGUUUUUUUUAUUAGUCAACAAUCAUAUGUCAUAAUUAGAUAAAAUUUACAGGUCCCCAAAUAUGAAAAACAAUAUACCAUAUUGAAACAAAAUAGUAAAAGAUGAUAGAAUGAAUUGCUCUUAUGAACUUCCAAAUAUUGAUCAGAAAGUAAAUAGAGAAGAAAAUUUAAAUGCCUAAAUUAUAUAUUAUCUCAUAAGGCCAAUCAUCGAUGAUAGAAACAUUAAGAGAAACCAUCAACAGAGGGGAAAGCAUGAGCUUCUUGCAUGUCAAGUCCAACAUCAAUAAGUAAGAAAGUCAAGUGACUAAUUACUCAAUUCUUAAGUUACAUGUGAGAUUCCUAAAGAGACAUAAAUAAUUAAAUGCUUCAUUAGCUUCCCGAAGUACACUAUAAAACAGGUAUCCUAAAUUUUGUAUCUGAAAAACUAAGUAUUAAGAGAAAUCCGUGCAGAGUCUUGUAACUUAACUCAAUCCAUUUACCUGACUUAAGUGGUGGAAAUGAAACAAGAUUUGUGUCCACCGCGGAUUUAGUAUAAGUUCAUGGGAGGCUCGAGUCCCCCUCAACUGUAUACUAUUUAUAUUAGGAAAAUUGUUAAAAGUUGAAAUUUUGAUAAAAUAUUUACAAAAUAUAACCAAAUUUCAUAUUUUAUUAAUAAUUGACAUUGAUUGUCACACCUCAAAUCGUACUAUCAACAAAAAUGUCAAAGUAGUAGAGAAUAGGAUAUGAGUUUGUUACAACUUUGAAAAAUUUUUAUCGCAAAACUUAUUCUAACAAUAAAAGAUUUUAUCGUUUAAUUCUUUUCUAUAGUAGUUUUAGCCUAAAUUUUACUUCCUAUAGUAGAAUUAAAAACGGGCCUCACAAUUCUUCCCCUCUUAAUAAAUUUUGUCCUCGAAAUUUAAACAGCAAGACAAUAACGCAAAACAAAUUAUACUUUUUUAUUACUUCAACUUUCAGAAUUACAGCCUUAUAACAUUAAAAUUACAGGUUUCUUGUUCUUCCAACUUUCUCCUUCUCCUUUCUCGCCUAAAUGAGAGCUUGAUCUUUUGAAGCUCAAACUCUUUUUCACUCGCAGAGUCGCGUCCACCAACUAUGUGUAGUCACUCCUUAUUAAAAUCGCCACAAUAGGUGUCAUGAUCUCCUCUCACAAAUCGUUUACAAAAUGCUUGCAUCUUUCUCCCUCAUUUAUGAUUAAUAUAAAGGCGUAUUUCGCUAAUUCGGUCAAUUUUCUCUCAUAUUCAGUAACUGAGAGUCUUCUCUAUUCCAAAGAGAGGAACUCAUCUCUCUUUUCUUCUAUAUAUGAAAUUGGAAAAUAUUUACCACUAAAUAUUCCCUUUAAUUCUUUCCAAGUCACCUUUCCUCGCUUGCUUUCUUCUAAGAUCCACCAGUUUUCGACAUCCUCUUGAUAUAAAAAUGCAGCUACACACUUCUUUCUUCUGAACACCGCAUAACAUGAAAGCACUUCUCCAAAAUCCAUAACCAUUUUCAGCUUCUUCCGAUUUAGUUGUUCCACCAAACUCAGUUGCUCCUAACGCUUUUAACCUUUCUAUUCCAAAAUUUCCCUAAUUAAAGAAUAAAACGCCCAGAUUUACUAAAUAAGCUUAUGAAUUCAUUGUUAUUCUAAAUCUUCCAACAAAUACUGAACUUUUAACUUACUGUACUUGAAUUUAUUCUUUCCCGAAGAACCUAUCGCUCUGAUACCAAACUCCACACCCCAAACCCCGAGUCGAUUUAAAACUUACGGGCUUUCUUCUGAGAGCGUUUAAACUUGUAGAUUCUACUGCAAAUCCUUCUUUUCUCAAAAUUACCUUGCAAAGUAACUUCUUAAUCGCAAAAUAUUAUUCUAAACUUCUUUUAUACAAUCAACAAAAUUUAAAACGCAACGGUGGUCAACCUAAACGCCUAGUAUAAUAAAUACCUACCAAAAUGUUUAUUAAUAACAUACAUUUGAUACAUAAUUACAACAUGUUGACCAAACAACCAAUGCUAUAUUUCCAAAACGGCUGAAUUCAUCUUGCCACAAAUCCUUCAACCUUCUCUACUUGGCCUAAAUGCCUGAUCUAGGAAGAUGAAUUUUUUAAAUAAUGUCUAAAAGACUGAGGUUUUAUGAAAUCCUUUUUGCAUUUCCUAUUCAUAAACAUCAUUUUGCAUAAUAACAUCAAAUAAUUUCAUCUCGCAUAAACAUUUCUUUACUCAAAACUACCUUGUGAAUUAACUGGGCCUCGGGAUGUAGGGGAAUGUUGAAGAUCCUGGGCCUGGGACAUUACAGAUAGACGAUGUAUGAGCUUGCUCUUCAGCCAAUUGUGCACGCCUUGUUAUGAAGUGAGGAGCUCUAUUUAUAGGAGAAGUGAUGUUAACAGGACAUCCCACGCGUCAUUAAUGCUUUGAAAAGUUGUAUCAGCAUCACAAAGACAUCUUUUUGUCAUUUCUCUAACUUUCGCACCAAUCAAAUUUGUUUGCUAAUGCUUCAUAUCGCCUAGCUUGCUUGUUUGUUGUCCUAUUGGUUGGAUGUGUCUCCACGUAUAAACAAUAUAUCGCCAAGCUUCACUUCUUUUGUCUGAAAUUUUUCAAUAAGACCACUAAAACGCAAUAAAACGGAGAUAGAAUGUUAUUCACAGAUUAAUCAAAUCACGUACUACUUUUCUUAGUUUCAUUCUGUUCUUAUGCGAUCAGACUUCAUUGUUUUACACCAAAAAAACUGCAAUAACUUGUAUUUCUACGAAUUUUCAGUUUUGUAUAACAAAUUAUGUCCAUUGAGUUCUUUGAGAGCUUUUAGAAGUUAAGAGAAUUAAAUAGUAUUUAUGGUUAUUUAACCAUUGAAAUUAUAUUGAUAGGCUUAUAAAAUAUAACAAUAGAAUGUCAAUGGUUAAAUAACGAUAAAUAUUACUUAAUUAUACAUGCAUAUAAAGGCAUAUGUUUAGUUGAAUCCACACUGAGUGUCUUCCACCCCUUUUCCUUAUGACAUUUUACUUAUCGUUUUCGCUGCCAUAGUAGGGUGUCGAAAGAAAGAGCUUCUGCUUUUCUUCUUUCACCUUUUAAGUACACCUAACAGUGAGAGUUACUGAGUUAAUGUCUCUACAGUUUAGUUGUGAUUGUUUUUCUUUAUAUCUAUACACAUAUUAAAUUAAAAAAAAGAAAAAGGAAAGAAGCAUUUUAAAUUCAAUGACUAUUUUAAAUGAUAAAAAAUUGUAGGGGACCAAAAUGAGUUUUAAACAAAGCAAGAAGACAAAGGUCAAUAAUACUUUUUGAUAAUCAUUUCUAAAUUAAAUUUGAAAAUUAGAAGUGGAUUGAGAGCCAACAUGGACCCAACGAACAAACAACAUAAUUCUUUUACACAUCUUGUUGAUGUGUUAUAAAUUAACUACUAUGAACAACUUGAUCAAAAAAUUAGUUAGUGGGGAAAAGAAUAAACUAAAGUGUGGAUCAUAGUUGUUAACUUUCCUCGUUACUGUCAACUUUCUAUAGUACAUAUCAUGUCUACUUUAUCCUUGCACUUCUUUUCUUACAUACGUUUUUUUUCUCUCUUUCGUUUAAUUUUACAUUUUCUCUUUUGACAAUUCCUAUUUGUGCUAAUCUCUUUAAUUUAAAAUUAUUUGUACACAUCUUUUAACAAACACAAAUUUCUUCACAUAAUAACUACACAUUUCUCUUUCCUCUUUCUCACAUAUUUUCACAUAAUAAAUAUAUCUACAUCAUUUUUCCGCCAGAUUUUAUUUUAUUAUAGAUCAUAGUAUUCUAUUUAAAAGUUAAAGCCUUUAUGCUAUGCAAGAUAAAUAUUGAAAUAUAAUCCGAAGAAAAUAAUUGAAUUGUUUAGAAUGAGUAGAAUUACAGCAUUCUGAAGAAUCAACAGACAUUGGCACCACAAAUUGUAGGUGAGUAUUUUAUAAAAAUUAGGUUUAAACUUUUAAAAGUUGGAAGCCUUGGGGACUUAAUUGGAACAGAAAAACAAAAAAACAAAAAUGAAAGAGUAGAUUUACAGCAUUUUAAAAUUGAUGAAUCAAAUAAAAAAUAAUCUCAAACCUUGUCGAUUAAAUAUUUGAAGUUUAAAGUUUAAGGAACAAAUAAACUAUUUGAGAAAAGAUUUACAAUAUAUAGCAAAAUUUUAGAUUCUAUUUACAGGCUUAAUAAAAGAAAGUCGGCAGUAUUAACGUCGUCGUCACCGCCCUGUCGAUGCUCGAAUUAGCAUUGUCAUGGAUGACUGGCUCUAUCGCCUUUCAGACAAUGACAACUAACAUAAUUUUGUCGAUUUUACCAUUGUCUGUGUUGCCAAACACCUACCCUGUGCACCAUGCAUUGACCCAUUCUACUCAGACAAUGUUGACCAUCCCUUCUAUGCAACCCUAUUCUUCAUUUGCGACCUAUAUUGCUUCGUGUAACAGACAUACUUGUCCAGUGUGAUGUUUGUCUAUGGCCAUAUGCCCAAAUACCCUCCAUUUAUCUUAACUUUGUGUCUUAUAUUUAAUUUUGCUACUUGCUUUCCUUUUUAUGUAAUAAAACUUGGGUAUGACGUGUCGGCCUUUUUCAUAUGCAAGUCUACCAAAACUGAAAAAGUCCAAAAUGUACUAUAGGGGAGACAUAGUAGUUGAAUCUCUGCCCAAUCCUUGUCGGACUCUUUGCAGUCUAAGUUUUUUGUUGCAAUUGACAGUCUUCAAUGCUUGUUUUAACAACGAUUUCAAUGCAAUUAUUUAUCUCACGUUUUCUAAAAUAUUUUCUAAAAAAUGUAACGGUAGGUUGAAUUGUAUUGUGAGUUUGUCCGCGAUUUUUGGAUUUUAUUGGUUGACUUGUUGACUGGGUUGAACAAGUGUCACACAAUCACUUGUCCCAAGGUUGGAAGGUUGUGAUUGUGACAAGUGGUAUCAGAGCCAAAUUGGUUGGUUGACAGUUUAACACAGAAAGAUGUCAGUUGCGAAAUAGUCGAGCAAGACCCAUAACGAACAACUUAUUGGACUUGAAGAGCAGAUGUUCUACCUAGUGGAAGUUCCAAAUUUCAUCAGUUUCUUAGAAAAGCGGCUCGAGGAAGUUGCCAAGAAAGUCGAUGUUAUUGAUGUGGUGUCCAGUCGUGUGGACAUAUUACCCAUACAAGAAUUGUUGACUAGAGUUGACACUCUAGAGUCAUGAAUUGUGAGAACUAGAAACGUCACCUACAAGUGUGGAGACAGUUCGUUGGGCUCUACUACCCAUAUGGAAGAAUGGGUUAUUAAGCUAGAUAACUCCCAGAAGAAUAUGUUAGAAAUGAUAAACGACAUGACAGAGGAUUUUUAAGCUACCCUUGAUGUCGUUAGGAAUGAAAUCGCAGAGGUGAACACAAGGUGAACCUUACAAUGCGAACGUUGGCAAACUAGGCUCCGACUUGAGGAGCAAUCCCAAUGGGUAGAAUAAAGAUUCCUAAACCCAAGCCCUUCUAUACGGCAAGAGAUGCAAAGACAUUAGAAAAUUUUAUCUUUAACAUCGAGCAGUAUUUUAAGGCCACAAGUACACUGAAGAGGCCAAAGUGGCAUUGACAACCAUGCAUCUGUCUAAAGAUGCGAAGGUGUGGUGGAGGUCCUGGUAUGUUGACAUCCAGGAAAGGUGUUGCAUAAUAGAUGUGUGGGAUGCUCUAAAGAAAGAACUCUGUUCGCAGUUCUUUCUCGAGAAUGUCGAAAUUCUAGCUCGGUAGAAACCGCGCGAAUUGAAGCACAUCAGCAACAUUUGGGACUAUGUGAAACAGUUUGCGGGGCUGAUGUUAGAUAUUCACGAUAUGUCGAACAAAGACAAAGUUUUAUGUUUUGUCGACGGUUUUAAGCCAUGGACUAAGACCAAGCUAUAUGAACAAAGGGUCCAAUACCUCACGUCGACAUAUGCAGUAGCUGAACGGUUGUUUGACUUAUUCAAUGACUCUCAAGAUUUGAGACGCCAUCAAAGAUCAUCCUCUAGGGAAACAGGAACAACCACCCAUGUUCUCCCUAAUCUGCAAGGGGGACAAACGUCAUAGCAGAGACCGCAAACACUUUCAAGUAAAUAAAGAGAAACACCGGGCGAGGACCUAACAAUCGAAACACAACCAAUCGUAUCCUUAGUUGUUUCAUAUGUAAAGGGUCCCAUCUUGCUAGAGAGUUUUCCAACCGAAUCGCCUUCAACACUUUUCAAGCCACGUUAGCCUCAUACUCAUAUGAUAAAUUGAAUCAAACCAAAGGAGAAAUUAACCAGAUAGAAGAAGGUGAAAAUCCUAGAAUGAGGGCGUUGAAAUUUUUGUCGUCUCUCUAGAAGAAGGUAGGGGAGACCAAAGGACCAACGAAGAGGGGUCUAAUGUACGUGGACUUUUGGGGUAAUUAGAAACCAUCCAAGAGCACUAUGGUGGAUUCUAGUGUGACCCACAAAUUCAUAACAAAGGCAGAAGCCAGAUGGCUAAAUCUUCGUUGGGAGAAAGACACAAAAAAGAUGAAGGGCGUGAAUUUGGCUGCCUUGCUUAUUAUCGGGCUAGUAAAACAAACGUCGAUAAGCUAGGUUAGAAGCAUGGAACGACCUUAUAAACUUAGUGGUUAAAAUUAAUGAGUUCAAUGUAGUACUGGAAAUGGAAUUUCUACUCGAACAUUAGGCUAUACCAAUGCUGAAAGCCAAAUGUUUAGUGAUUACUGGAUCUACGUCCACUGUUGUACAGAAAGACAUUUGUCAUCCUAACAAAGUAAAGAUGAUUUUGGCCAUGCAACUGGAGAAAGGCCUUGCUCGAGACGAGCUAACGUUUAUGGCUAUUCUCUGCUUGAGUCAUUGGACAAUCUAGGGGAGAUAGUCCCCAAAAAUAUUAUGUGUGUCUUAGAGAGGUACAUGGAUGUGAUUCUAUAUAGUUUGCCUAAAUCUCUGCGUCCACAAAGAAUUACUGUCAGGGACAAAACCACCUACGAAGAAUGCUUAUUGUAUGUCACCACCAGAGUUGACUGAACUUCAAAAAUAAUUAGAUGAACUAUUGAAUGCAGGAUUUAUUAGACCUGCAAAAGCUUUGUAUGGAGCCCCAAUAAUUUUCCAAAAGAAGAAGGAUGGAAGUUUGCAGUUGUGCAUCGACUACCGUGCCCUGACCAAAAUCACAGUUUGCAAUAGAUACCUGCUUCCCAUAAUCAUUAACUUGUUUGACCGCAUGCAUGGGGCAAAGUAUUUUUCGAAGCUAGACCUGUGAUUGGGUUAUAAUCAAGUGAGAAUUGCCAAAGGAGAUGAGCCUAAAACAACUUGUGUUAGGAGGUGUGAGGCAUUCGAAUUCCUUGUUCUGCCAUUUGGUCUUACCAAUGCGGCUACAACCUUUUGUACGCUGAUGAACCAGGUCUUCCACGAAUACCUUGACAAGUUUGUCGUUGUCUAUCUUGACGAUAUAGUGGUUUAUAGCUCCACGAUGGAAGAACAUAAAGACCACGUCCAAAGGACUUUUCAGAAACUAAAGGAGAACAAGUUGUAUGUCACGAGGGAAAAGUGUUCCUUUGGUAAGAACGAAUGAAUUUCUUGGGUCAUGUGAUUGAGUGUGGCCAAAUUAGUAUGGAAGAGGGGAAGAUUGUCGCAAUACGUGAUUGGACAGUACCAAGGUCAGUCACCGACUUGUGUUUCGUUCUCAGAUUAGCUAACUAUUACAGACGAUUCAUGGAAGGAUUCUCCAAAAAUUCUAGCCCGCUGACCGAGUUAGUGAAAAAGAACAGCUCGUGCGGUUAGACUCUCGAAUGUCAGGCCGCCCUCAAUGAGUUGAAGCAAGCUAUGAUCGAGGGGCCAAUUCUUGGGCUCGUGGAAGUGACCCAAUCAUUUGAAUUUGAGAUCGAUGCAUCUGAUUUUGUGUUGGGUGGUGUUCUCCUGCAGAAUGGACACUCGAUCGCAUAUGAGAUUUGAAAGCUUAAUGCUACAGAGAGGAGAUACAUGGUGUCUGAGAACGAAAUGCUUGUGGUGGCACAUUGUCUGAGAGCCCAGAGACUAUAUUUACUAGGGUCUACUUUUGUUGUGAAGACAGACAACAGUGCUACUUACCACUUCUUUACCUAGCCGAAAUUAACUUCAAAACAAGCAAGGUGGCAAGAAUUCCUAGUUGAGUUUGAUUUUGAGUUGGAACAUAAGAAAUGUGUGAGCAAUCUAGUAGCUGAUGCACUUAGUCAGAAAAUGAACAUGUGACUCUGUGCAUGUUAGCUCAUCUUCAUGCAAGUUAGAUUGAUGGCCAAUGUGCGAUGUUUUGAGAGAAUUCCUGCAGAAUGAUUAUGCCACUUAGAAUGUCAUGAGUGACCGAGAUGGUAGAUUCAUCGGCACGUUUUAGACUAAACUAUUCACUUUCUUAGGAACAAGUCUGAAUGUGUCCUCAAGUUACCAUCCUCAGAUAGACGGUCAGAUCGAGCGAUUCAAAUGUAUGCUCGAAGAAUAUUUGCGCCAUUUUGUUAAUGCAAGGCAAAAGAAUUGGGUUUAGUUUUUAGAUGUAGCCGAAUUUUGUUUUAAUGCUCAGAUGAACUUGUCAACUGAGAGAAGCCCGUUUGAAAUUGUUUAUGGUAGGCAACCUGUAUUGUUGCACCUUUUUUAUCACCCCUAUGCAGGAAAGAAUCUCCAGGUUCACAACUUUACCAAGGAAUUGAAACAGACAAUGGACAUCACUCGAUCCUAUCUAGAGAAAGCCUCGAAGCGGAUGAAGAUGUAGGCAUAUAAGAAGCGUCGCCCUCUUGAGUUCCAGGCGAAAGAUCAGGUUAUUUGUUAAACUGUGACCAUAACAGAUUUAAUUCUGGAGACGCAAACACCAACGCCUCAUGAUAAAAUAGGAGGGACCAGUAGAAGUACAAAAAAGGGUAGGGAGUACAUCUUAGAGAGUGGUGUUGCCCACAUGGAAGAAAAAUCACCCACUAAUUCAUGUGAGUAACUUGAAGCCCUACCAUCAUGAUCCUGAUGACAUGCAAUGCAAUGUCAUAGUUCGAUCAACCAUCGACAUCAAUUAGAAAGAGGAUAAAGAAGUUAAAGAAAUCCUGGUCGAGCGAGUGAGGAAGGGCGGAAGACCCACAAGAAGGAUUCACGAAUACUUGGUGAAGUGGAAAAACCUUCAUGUGAAAGAAACUAGUUAGGAACGUUUCGAAGACCUAGAAGCCUGGACGUUGAAGAUUGAAGAUUUCAAGCUUCACCAGUCAACAAAGACAUCAACUAUUUAAGUGAGGGAGAAUGUAAUGGACAUACUUUUCUAGGGCGAUGUUUGCCUAGGGCCGUAUGACCAAAUACCUUCGAUUUAUUUUAUCUUUAUGUCUUAUAUUUAAAUUUGCUACUUGCUUUCCUUUUUAUGUAAUAAAUCUUGGGUGUGAUGUUUAGGCAUUUUUCAUAUGCAAGCCUACCAGAGCUGAAAAAGUCCAAAAUGUAAUAUAGGGGAGGGAUAGUAGUUGAAUCCUCGCCUAAGCUUUGUCGCACUCUUUGUCAUCUAACCUUUUUGUUGCAAUUAACAAUCUUCAAUGCUUGUUUUAACAAUGAUUUCAAUGCAAUUAUUUCUCUCUCACAUUUUCUAAAAUAUUUUCUAGAAAAUAUUUGUAUUUUGAUCGGUUGUCCUAUUGACGGGGUUGAACAAGUACCGCACAAUCGCUUGUCUCGAGGUUGAAAGGUUGCGAUUGUGACACUCUCCACCUCUCGAUUCAUGUACUCCCACCUAAUUCCUAUUGACCACCACCGCUUCUAUUAUCAAAUUUGUAUGCCCUACCACCCACCGACCUUAGUUAUCAUCCUGAUGUUAGGUAUCCUCAAAUGAUUCAUUCAACAUUUUGAGGUUGGUCAUGAAUCUUUGACACAUUCCAACCCUAACGUGUAAGCUUUCUCUUGUUCUUUGGAAAUAACUCAACAACAAUUGGAAGGGCUUCAAUAAUAGAUUGCAUCAAUUGAGGCUACCAUAGGGACGACAUCUAACACAUCUAUACCAAUGUAUUUUGAGAAUCUAGUAACCUCAAUUUCUCACUUUAUCCUCUUAUUAUGUGACAAAUAUAGUGACAUAUUCUACAAGAUAUCUUUCAGGAAAAAUUUGAAUGACAACUGUUUGUCAUAGUUUUAGUUAGUGAAAAAUGGUCCUUAAAUGAAGACAUAAAUUUGAUUUUCUCAUAGAAAGAAUACCUCGUCCUCUGUCGGGCGACCUACAAGAAAAGUACUAGAAGGGACAAGACUCUCUUUGAUCCAUAUUGAUCAGUAGUAUGAAAUCUCAUUUUAGCAAGUAAUUACUAUAAGCUAUAACAACCAAAACUAUUUGGGACAUGGCCUAAACAUUCUACUCCAUGUGUUAGAAUGCAUUUCGGAUUUAUACUUUGCAAAACUAGAUCCACGAAUACAAAUAUGGAACGAUAGAUUUGACAUCUUAUUUUAACAAACUCUUUCUUAUUUGGCAAGAAAUGGAUCCGUGUAGGGAAAUUAUUUGGAUUUGUCUUAGUAAUGGAAAGGAAAAGAAAAAUUGUAGAAGAAAGAGGAUGGAAAGGAAGCAGAAAUGGAAGAAUUUAAAAAAAUAUGGAAGAGGAAGAGAAGAAAGACAAAAAAAAUAGAAGAAAGACGAUGAAAAGAAAAGACAAAUUUGAAAUAUUUAAAAAAAAUGUGAGUUUCAUGGACUUUUUCAUUUUGUUAUACAGACUAUAAAUAUUUUGUUGGUUUGUUAUAUUAUGAAAAUUAACAUUUCUUUUAAAAAACAAACAAUAUGAAAAGUCUAUCGUGUCAAAACUAUUCGUUGGACACGAACAUAAAAUAAUCUUACAUUUAUUUUCUUUUUAAAAUAAUAUAUAUUAAAUUCAUUUCCUUUUGAAAACCAAUCCAAAUAAUCAACAAGUGUUUUCCUCCUGAAUUUGCUCCACAUGUGAUUCACCAAUUGAAUCUAAUUUAAUGAUUUGGCUGCCACAUCUGACGUCACUGCCUCAUAUAUUUUUUCGUUAAGCUUGUUUCGACUAUAACUUAUUCGUGUGAACUCUGAUUUGAGCAAUCCAAAUUGUGUUCAGAUCAUAAUUUUGAGUUCUAGAUAAUAGAUUCACCAAAACACGAGAAUUAUUAAUUAAUAAGAUUUGUUUUGUUUCCAUAAAAAUAUAAAUUCAUUAAAUAAUUGAAAUGAAUUAAUUUGAGUUUAAUGGCCGGUUAAUUGUUAGAGACCAAGUAUACCUAUGCCUAGAAACUCAGGGACUAAAAAGAUAUUUGUCUAAAAUAUGUUUAUGAAAUUAUAACAUUCUUAUUAAAAAAAAUCUAAAACACUAGAUAAUUGUUAGAGAAAUUGCAUUAGGAUGAGAAAUAAAUUUUAAAACAAAGGAACACAUUGUCACACCCAAACCGUACUGCGACGAUAAUGUCGAAGUAGUAGGAAUAAGAUGCAAGUUUGUUACAACCUUAAAGUUUUCUUAUCACAAAAUCUUAUUCUCAACUCCUUUUAAACUAUAAAAAAAAAACUCAAAACGUAAUAAUAGUCAACCUAAAUGUUAAGUAUAAUAAAUACAUACCAAAACGUAUAUUUUAUUAAUAACAUACGUUUGAUACAUAAUUACAACACUUUGACCAAAUAACUAAUGGUUAACUAUUUUCAAAACGUUUAUCUCGCUGCAACUCCUUCAACUUUAUUCUUUACUUGGCCUAAACGCCUGAUCCUGGAAGAUUAGAUUUUUAAAAUGUAAGUCUAAAUGACUUAGUGAGGUUUUAUGAAAUCCUUUUCACAAUACCCUUUGAUAAAUCAUUUUUGUCAAAUCAUAAAUACCAACACAAAUCAAUUUAUAAUUUACACUUUAUUUCGCAAAACAUGUCAAAACGCAUGUAAUCAAUUUCACAAUAUAAUUAAAUCAUCUUGCAAAUCAUAUCAAUAUACAUUUUGCAUAAACACCAAUUCGCAUAACACAUCUUUUUCACAUGACAUAAAUCAUCUCAAACAAACACACAUUAGUUAAUUAUUAUUUUCGCCAAGGAUCUCGAAUCGUUCUCUACGCUUAGUCUUAUUACCUUGCGUUUAAACUAUUGUAUCAACAUCCGAGAACAUAUAAAUUUGUUCUUGUUUCUCAGACCGCUAAGCUUUAUACUUUCAACACAUAAGUCAACUACUUAUCACCAUAUAGCCCGUACACCCAUGGUGACCUUGACUCUUUAUGUGCACAUAAAAGUUAGCAUCAUCUCAAAAAGACAACCACUGGUUUGAAAAUUAUUUAAACGUAUAGAAAUCAUUGUAACGCCCCAAAAAUAAGACAAUUUUGAAAUUAGAUUAUCUUGGUUAAAUUAUUAAUGUUAAAAUUAUUGUGGGGUAAAUUGAGUUUUUGGUGAGGAUUAUGUGUUCGAGGAAAUUAGAAUUAAUUAAAUAAGAGGCAUUUUAAAAAAUAGAAAAAUAUAUUAAAAUACUUACAAGCUAUAGCAAAAUUUUGGAUUUUAUCAGUGAUAGUCUUCUACAGUGACUAUCACUGUAGCAUAUAUUAUCAAUGAUAGAAUUUGCUAUAGGUUGUAAAUAUUUUAUAAAAUCUACUCUCUUAAAAAACUUUCUAUUAAAUAAUUAUGGAAAUAAUGUUUAAUUAAUCAUUGGAAUUGAAAAACUUUUGGUUUGUUGCGGAUUGAUAUUAUUAAUUAUAUAUUAAAUUAUGGAAGAUAAAAAAAAAGUUAUAUUAGGGGUAAUAUGAUUAUUAAAAAAUUUUGUUUGGUUUGUUAGAGAAUUAGAUGAGGAGAGAAGAGUUGGGGUUAUUUUGGGAGAAAAUAAAAAGAAAAAAGUGAUUUCAAGAGUUAAUUGGUUUUUUUUAAGAAAGUUUUUAUUGAAAAAGAAAAAGGAGAUGGAAGAGAAGAUAUAAUAAUAAUAAUAAUAAUAUUUAUUAUUAUUUAUAUUAAAAACCCACUUCCCGACGAUACCAUUGCUGUCUCCAUCAACCUCUCUCCACCGGCAUCAACGCGUGGGUCUCAGUCGUGUUGCCCUCUCUUCGUCCGUUACAGCAAAGCUGAAGCCGAAGUCGUAACUCUCCUCUUCCGCCUGAUUCUCCUUCGUCCACUGAGCUGGAACAAACCGAAACUGAAGAUCAGUCUUGACGUUUCUCCACUGUAUGACACUGAACUCUGACGACGUCUCCACCUCUGUUUAUCGUCCUUCCCAAGCUACCGUCGCAAGCCAAACUCAUUAGAUCAAGCCGCACGCGCUAGUCACCUUUUACCCGAACCAUCCUUGCAAAUCCAUCUGAGUCAAUCUUCCUUUGCCAGCCGACCAUCCGAGCCGUUUUGAGCCUCUUCUGUAAGCCCAAGCCUCCAAUUGUGAGUUAGUUGUUGUUUUGAUUGACUAAAUUGUAGUGGAGUAAGUGAAGUGUGGAGUUAUUCCUAACCAAGGUUGAGUUAGAAUUCAGCCUCAACUUUAGGAUCUGAGGAUUAAGUACUUGGAUUCUAACCGUUUGUCCGGAUUUUAGAGUUAAUCUCAAGUGAAGGGAUUUUCUUAUUGGAUCCCCACAUUAAAGUUGCAUGCAUAUUUUGUACCAUGUAGUUAAGGAAAAACAUGUAUGACUGAGAUGUUAUGAUCGUGAUACAUUGUAUUUGAGGCAUGCUAUGAUUAAAUAUGAUAUGAUAAAGUUAUGUUUGACUGAGUUACGAUAUUUAUGAUAUGAUAUAUUUAUAUAGGCUAUGAUGUUAUGUUAGAUUUAUUAUUAGAGUCGUACCAUAUAGGUGUCCCUCAAGAUCACUACCUAUUUACACCUGUGUGGCCAAUUUUAUAUGGGAUUCGAUAGCCCGACUCUCCUUUAGGGUGUUCCUUCGGGAUCACCGAGAGCCCAGAUGCUUCCCUAGGGGAUCACUGGAUAGCGUGCCUUUAUGAGCACAAUGUUUAGACAGUACCAUCCUACAUGACUCCAGAAUUUAACGAACAUUUGACGGGAUAAAUAGUGAGUCCCUUAUUGAGUAUAAAAUUUUAAUUUUACAGAUCAAGAUAGAAGUAAAGGCAAUAUGGCAAAUGACAAGAAGAGACCGUGGUUCACCAUAAAGGGACAAUAUAUGUUCUAUUCCACAUUUAUUGUUUUCAGUAUUCAAUUUUUAGAAAAUUAUUCAGAACUCAUGUUUACUUUUAUAUAUUUCUUUUAUUUUAAAGAGAGCCCAAACUAGUAUUUUAACUAAUGUUUUUAAUUAUUAUUUUCUUUACAUACUUUACUUAUAUUUUAUGAAUUAAUAUUUGAAGCGUUCUUUUAAAACUUAAUAUUUUCUUUUAUUUUAAAUGAAAAGUUUUUAUUUGUUUUAAUGGUAAUGACUUCAGCUCGGUAUAAAGAGUUGGGUUGUUACAAUCAUAAUCAUCAAAUCAAGCUUUAACAUUAUAAAACUUGAAAACAUAUAAACUUUUCAUACAAAUCUGUUUUGAAACAUUUUUUUCAUUUGAAUUUUUCUUUCAAAAUAGUAAAGUAGAACCACAAAAUUUUCAUGAAGAAAACCAUUCUCACCACACUUUACAAAAAACCCCUCUUCAUUCUCUUCUUGUGGAGCCUUCUCAAGGAACAAAUCGCCGUACUUAACACUUUGUUUUUCUUCUUAUUUUAGUCAUGCUUCAGUUUGUCAGCUCCUACUUAAAACUUUACACGUGUAAAGUUUUAUACUCAACCCAGCCAUGCUUAAAACUUUACAUGUGUAGAUUUGACAUUUUUUUCAUCAGAUCUUACUAAAAUUAAAAAUAGGUCUUACACAUGUAACUUCUCUUUUUUGCAUAUUGCAAAUAUGACAACUAAUUAAAUAUAUUAGACAACAAUCAAAUGGUUAUCAAAGGACUAUCCGUUUUUAAAUUUGAUACUUUUGCAAUUUAGAAAAUGCAGUGACAUGGUCUCUAUUACCAUAAUUUUUUUUGCUACUUUUGCAAACGUCCCUAAUAAUUAUUCAAUCUAUUCAACAAUAUUUUAGAAGACAUUACAUGAUUUCAAUUUGUUUAGAAAAACCAACUAUAUUGUUAUUAUAUAAAUUUGAUAGUUUAUUUUAAGAAAAAUGUCAAAAAUAGCAAAUUUGACAAAAUAUUUACAAUAUAUUGCAAAAAUUUUCAGAUUCUAUCAAUAAUGACAUUGAUAGUCACUGAUAUGUUUCUAUCAGUGGCAUUGAUAGACUUUUAUCACCUGUUAAAGCCUAUAAAAGUCUAUCAAUUUCUAUUAUUUAUAGAAUCCAAAAUUUUGCCUAAAUAUUUUAAUUUAUUUUGCUACUUAAAAAAAUUUCUCUUAUUUUAAUUUAGGAUCAUUUAACAUUAUGAAUGAAAAUAUGUUACUACUACUCCACUUUUAUCUCUUUUUAUAUAUUAUUUUACAAAAAGUACAUUAGUUAAUAGAAAUUUAAAUUAGCACUACAAACUACAAACGGUAAGCGAGUAUUUUAUGAACAAUGAGUAUAAAAAUUUUAAAUUUUAAACUUAGAAACUUAUUGGAAAAAGAAACAAAAUUCAAGAGUACAAAUAUAACAUUUCAAAUAUUCGUAUGAAUCAAAUAAAAAAAGUAAAUUGAAAACUUAUAUAUAAAAUAGUAACAUUUAAUUAAUGUUGAAGAACAGUGAAAUAAUACUCAACAUUUUGGACAGAGAAGAUAUUUUAUAUUUUAAAUUAUUUUCUUAUUUUAUUAUCUAAAUCUAAUUGCAUUUUCCAUCCCACUAUACAUAGAAAAAUAAUCUUGAACUAAUCUCAAACAAUAAAAAAAAUGAAAAGUCUGACUUUUUUUAUAAAAAAACUGAUCGGACAUAAGUGCUUGAACUAAUCUUGAACUUCUCUUAAAAUAUUCUUCGAAAAAAAAAAAGCCUCUCUUAAAAUAUUAGGGAACUUCCACUAUGAGAAAGCAAAUCCAAUUAUUUUUAGCUCUAUUUUCGUUAUUAAAAGAUUGCUUUGCCUAAUUAGGUAAUUUCUAAUAUACUAUCAUUGAGUUGAACAUGAUGUAUACUCCGAAAAAUUAAGUCAGUGGACCAAAAUUGAGCCAAACCAAAGGUUGGCUAUUCAAUAAAGUGGUUAUUGAAGACUUAAUAGUGAAAAUAAAAUACAAUAAUUUUAAAGCCAACAAACUAAGGUCACGAAGCUAUUUUUUAGUAAACUUUAACUUUGACAUAAACGUGGAUCAAGUUCGAGCAUAUAACUCAAACGGUUUAUAAUAUAUGAAUAAGGUUGGACACCUUAUUCUGGCCGGGACGCUAUGAAUGAGGCCCACUUUGUAGUUAGUACAAAUGAUGUGAUUCUGAAUCAUUCAUGUAGAGACAUGGAAAUGGGGCAUCAUCUAUAAAGAAUUUACAUAAGACUGAAACAAAAAAAAAUAGUCACUUUUAAGUUAUAACAUCGUUGACGGUAUAAAACUGACUAUUUAAAAUAUGAUGACCUAGGUAAUUGAUAACUUGUACUUGUACAAGUUAUUAUGACUUUUUAGGUAGAAUAAUGGGACCAAAAUGCAUGGUGAGAGUGUCAAAAUGUGUAACUUAAGUUGUAAAUGCAUAAAUAUUUAGAAAUACACUUUACAUCACAAUUAAUAAUAAUAUAAAGAACCUUUUCUUUUUCUUUAGAAAUGCCUUGUUCUUGGAAGAUUUAACUGGUAAAUUUUUUCAUCAAUAUUUAGAAAUAUACUUUACAUAAAAUUUUUCAUUAAAUAUGCUUAUCUAAAGUGUAUUUCUAAAUAUGGUUAUGUAAAGAGGGUUAUAAAUAUUUUGAAAUGCUCUCAUUCGCUGUCCACUCACUGAUCUUGAUUUGGUGAGUUAUAUGGUAUUUUGGGUCUUUAUUGUGAGAUUUUAUUACUCAUUAAAGGUUAAUUGAGACUCUAAAUUAAGUUAAAUAUUAGAAUUGAUUUUGGUUGCAUGUUUUUGGAAAGUCCUUUGACAAAUUUUGAAGACUUAAGUGGUGAAUUUACCCAUUAAAGUUGAGAGGAUUUUUAAUUUUAAUUUGGGUAAGUUUAGUAAGCUAAAGUGAUUAAAUUAGUAAUUUGUUGGCAAAUAUUGUUAAUUUACUUUUGAUUAUGUUUAAUGAAAUUGUGGUUUCGUUUGGAACAAAGAACUUAACAUAACCUAAGCUAAUGAAGGAUUCUACUACUAGAUCCCUAAUCGAGGGUUGGAUUACUAUUAAAUUGUGAAGGGUAGUCAUUGGAUUAGGCUAAGAUGUAGAGGAUGGUUAUUUGUAUAUGCUUAUUAUGAGAAUUGUCUAUGCUUGCUGUGAAGUAUGAUGAUUGUUUACAUGCCUAUUAUAGAUUACUGAUAUGGUAUGUUGUGAAUCAGACUGUGAUGGUUUACUGUGAGUCCAUUACUGAUGAAUUAUUUUCUUAGCUUAUGGGUUACUAUGAUAGCUGGAGAAUUAUUUGCAUAGUCUAUGGGUUACUAUAAUAGUUGUGAUGAAUAAUUAUUGGCUUAGUUAUGAAUUAUUUGGUCUAAAGCUAUUGGGGAAUGUGUAAAGGACAAUGAUUUGUGUAACAUGUGGUUGCUUGAGAAUUCUUACUAUAAAAAGUAUGAUCAUUGUUUGCAGGAUUACUGAUUGGGCAUAAUUGAUAAUUUUAUUAAGUUAAAUUAUUGAACUUUUUCUUUAUGUUUAGGAUUGACUCGUUUGGAAAUUUAUUUUCAACCAUUGAACCUUAGCUAAUUUUAGGGUAAUUAGAGAUUCUAUUACUGGACCUUUGAAUGAAAGUUAAGAGUCUACAUGUGUUCAUUGGUUAUACAUUUACAACAGCUAAAAUGCAUAAAUGAGUUGUAGUAGUUAUUAGCUGAUAUAUCUUAUGUGACUUAUGCAUGUUUGCAUUAUAUGUUUAUCAACUGUUAUGACUGAUGAUUCAUGCCAUGUUUAUUUUGACUGUUACAUGCUUCUUGGACUGAUGGUGUUUGUUAGCUUUGGUUGUGUCACACUCCGUUCUAGGUUUUUCCCUCCAACCUAGAUCGUGCAUGAAAACACUUUUUGAAAACAACAUUUUUCAACUUAAACUUUUAUAGAACAAGUAUUAUGAAAUUCUACAAAAAUUUCAACCACAUCUGUAUGUAUGUAUGGAUAUAUGUAUGUAUGUAACUUCAGACUCAAAUCACAUUAAGCGUGUCUCACCACACACUCAUCCAAACUAGUUCAGAGUCUCAAUCAAAGUUUGUAUCCAACUAGAAAUUUAGUAACAAAAGAAUUACAGUUUACUUAUAAAUCUCUCAAAAUACAUAACCAUGACCUCACUACUUCUAACUACCUUAUAAAGUAAUACAAACUUAAAUAUAUACAUAUAUACGAAAGAAAUGAGAAUCUAAAAAUGGUAAUAGAGAGCUCAAUGAAAAAGAGGGAGGAGAGGAAGAAGAAAGAAAGAGAAGAGAGGGCGAAAAGUGAAAAAGUAGAGAAGGAGGAAGAAGGAAAGUAUAGGAAAGAAGAUAAGAAGAAGAAAGAAGAAGAGGCGAGAAGGAGGUGUAAGAAAGUUGACAAGGGGAUAAGAGAAACAAACAUGUUAGAAGAAGGAACCUCCUCGCCAAUAGCUGAAACAUAAUUCGAUAAGUUGACAAAGAACGAUCAAGAAAAGACAAAAAAAAAGUAAAAUCUAGGCUGUUAAAAAUUAAGGUAAAAGCGAAUGGCGUUAAAGCCUUAGAGCAGGAAAAUAAAGAGAUAAAGCUUUGUGAGCGAGGAGAGCUCCUUAAGUAAGACUGAUGAGGUGGUUCUCUUUACGAAAAAGGGCAAAUGAAAGAGAAAACCACCGAGGAGAUUGUUAAGCAGUUUCAAAAAAAGCUUACUGAGUUAAGUCCUUUGGAGGACGAGGCGCCAAGACCUACGAAAAAGAGAAAAAUCACAAUGAAGAAAAAGGUCUUGAGAGAACAGUUUGAGAAGAGGUGAAAAGAAAAGGCGAAAAGAAAGCCUAAAAAUGAUAAUGAGGAAAUGACUAAAGAAAGUGAUUUAGAAGGACCACAAAUUUCUCUAAUGAACAAUAGUUAUAGUCCCACUAUAACUAAACUCCUCUUGAGCCAAGAGAGGGUGUGACGCCACAUUGUUCAAGCCUUGGAAUCAGCCUUAAGAGAGCAAUUUCUCUACUUACUCUAUCUAUGGAGGAGUGAAUUCUUUCUUGUGUUGUUGUGUUCCCAGCUCCCUAAUCAAACGAAUCCUCAAAAUGGUAGGCUUAUUGAGUUGGCGAUAUAGGCCACUCCCACCCAUGCAAAUCAAAGGACUGCCUUCAUAGACAGGAGUUCACAACUCACUCAAGAUUCAGGUCAAGUCUCCUAUGGUCAUCUUGGUGAAAUGUAGUCUUAACUAGUAACGGUGUUAAUAAGACAGACUAUUCAUUUCGUGGUCUGAUCUUAUACAAACUCUUUGUAUAGAAUACAUCUGCUCUAAUGUCUCGACAUGAAUGAUUAGGUUCAAAUCAUUUGUAGCAGUUUACAACAAUUGUAACAACUACAAAGCAGGCCGUAUUCGUAGUGUCACCAGAAUAAGGUAUCCAGCCUUAUCCAUCUACUACAGACCAUUUAGGUUAUCAUUUAAACAUGAUCCACUUGUAUGUCUCCACAUACAUGUUUAGGUUACAUAAGAUAACCUUGGAUGUUAGUUUAUUGGUUUUGUGGGUUAGUGCAACUAAAUGUCAAAUAAAAUAACACACUUUAUUUUAUUAGAUAAAUAAAAUGUUUGUAAAAUAUAUACAAUUACAAACUACAAAACCACAAGAUUUAGGGCAUCAAUCCCAACAUCUUUAUCUUCGGCAUUCACGUCCACCAGCUUUAGUCCUGUCGUCGUCCCAGCCAUCUGUUUCAAUCUGAGCCGCUACCAUCAUCACCAAGUCGUACGCGUGCGCCACGUUUCGAUCCAAGCCGCUACCAUCUCCACCAAGCCGCAUGCAUGAGCCACAUUUCGAUCCGAGCCACUACCAUCUCCACCAAGCCGCACGCGUGAGAUGCGUUUUAGACCAAAGCCGUUACACAAGCCAUUCUUUCACGAUCAAGUCGCACGUCUCCAAGUCGUACGCAUGUAAGCAUUUCGAGUCGAUCCUCUUCCGCGAGCCGUGCGCCCGACCCGACUGCCCUUACCGAGUCGUUCCCUGUUUUGAGCCACUUCUUGAUGAAAUUUGCUUAUUUUUAUUGGGUUUGGCACUCCCAUCCAAUAGCUAUUUAUCCCAAGUAAUUUAGUGAUGAGUUAAAGUCAAGUAAUUUGAGUUAUGGAUUUAAGUUAAAACCUUAUUUUACUUGAAGGUUGAUUAUUUUGUUGGGAGAUUGGAACUGUGCAAUUUCCCAUUCAAGGUUGUGUUGGAUUCAACCUUAGUCUUAGGACUGUAAUUUGGAAGUUUACUUCAGCUAAUCUCCUUGUAAGGGAUUUUUUCUAUUGGAUCCCCACAUUAAAGUUGAUUUUGUAUCAUGUAUUAAGGUAGUUAAGGGAAACAUGUAUGACUGAGAUGUUAUGAUUGUGAUACAUUGUAUUUGAGACAUGUUAUGAUUAAAUAUGAUAUGAUUGAUUGAGUUAUGUUUGACUAAGUUACGAUAUUUAUGGUAUGAUAUAUUUAUGUAGGCUAUGAUGUUAAGUUAGAUUUACGGUUAGAGUCGUACCAUAUGGGUGUCCCUCGAAAUCACCAUCUAUUUAUGCUUGUGUGGCCAAUUUUUAUAUGUGAUUCGACGGGAUCACUUACAGCUUGACUUUCCUUUAGGGUGUUCCUUUGGAAUCACCGAGAGCCCAAAUGCUUCCCUAGGGGAUCGUGCCUUCGGGAGCACAAUGUUUAGAUAGUACCUUCCUACAGGACUCUAACAGAUGGUUUAUUUUCCAUAAUGAGCUAAUAGUUUAUUUUCCCCUAACGGGACCAGUAGUGGGUCCCUUACUGAGUAUUCUUAUACUCACCCCUUUGUGUUUAAUUUUUUUUAGGCAAAGGUAAUAAAGGUGGCAAACCGGCGAGGGGUAGGAAGGAAGCGUGACCGCCACAGGGGACAUUUUAAAAUUUGCUUUCGCUUAGUGAUUUACUGUAUUGUUUUAUUUUCGUACUUGAGACUAUUUAGAAAAUUUGAGGUUUAACUGUAUUCAAAGACUAGAAAUUUAUUAGUUUUAUUGUCUUGAAAGUUUUGGUUAUUUUAAACUGGGCCCAAACAAAAAUAAAUUUUGAUUUCUUGAGAUUUUAAAUUUUAAUUAAAUUUGGUACUUUGUGUAAACUCAAGACUUUGUGUUAAUUUAACGAUUUUGGCUUAGUUAGAAAAGUCGGAUCGUUACACCUUAAAAAAUAGCCAAAGGGGGAGAUGUGUUACUCAAGUUGGUUGCCUUAUUUUAUUAAAGAUAAAAUUGGAACUUAAUUUUCUAUCUAUAUGGUUAAUGUCUAUUAAUAAAUAUGUGGACAAUAUUUAUUAAUAAAGAUGUGGAGUUGGCUUUGAAGAUUUGGUUGUCAUGGUUGAGUUAAUACUUAUUAAUAAAUAUAUAUGAUUAAUAUUUGUUAAUAAAGAUAUUUAAGUGGUUGUGGUUGUUCCUAUAUACCGUCUCAAGAUUGGUCAAUAUUGAUUAAUAAAUAUAUGGUUUAUAUUUAUUAAUAAAUUGAUGGAGCUGACCUUUGUUUUGUUACAACGUGUGACCUAAAACACAUAAAGCUUGUGGAUACGUGAUAUUGUUGUGUUUUUUAAGACAUAAGUGUGGGCAAACAUGCAUCAAAAUUAUGCGUUGAGAAAGUCUUUUAAAAAGUACUAAGUUUGUGUGGUCUGUGGUGUUGAAUACUUUGUUUGUGGCUUUGUGAGCCAUUUGAUUGAGAAGAUUUGUGCAAGUUAGGGAAGGCUAAUAUUGAAGUUCUUUUUUAGGAGUCUCGUGUCAUUACGUGUGUUAUGGGUGAUUUGUUUGAUCAUCGUUCCAUUAUGGAUUUCUUGCUUCGAGACUGUCGGCAAUGGUUGACAUCUGAUACUGCUAUAUCUGUUUCCCCAUCUUAAAUUUAUUUGGCAGCAAGUAAGGGGGAGUACUUUGUUCCAACGUUUCCAAUUCACAUUUUUUUUGUUGCUUUUGUUUAUUCCUUUCACUAUUAAUGAAUCUCUAUAUUUUGGUUAAUGGAUCUCUACUGCUUUGUUACUUCUGGAUCUGGAUGUGGUUUGGCAGUUUUUGUUACUUAUUAUGUGGUUUGCUUUCGAAUUGUCGUUCAUUAUAACUAUCUAUAUGGCAGCUUCUGUUUCUAUACUUCUGGUUAUUGUUAUGCUUGUUUGCUCAAAUAAAGUAAGUUGGUCUCAAUGAGGAGUUUGUUAGUUAUGUGAUCCCACUUCCUUUAUUUGUUUUAAUAAAUGUAAUUCAGCUGGGAUUUUGUUAUUGAGAUUGUUUGGCUGCUUGUUAUGAUAUCUCAUUAUCAUUCUCGGGUGAUUUGGAUUGGAUUUCUCAAUUGAUGGUUACUUGAGAUUAUUGGAUGAAUAGUUUUAUGGGUGUUGAGAGAAAAAGGGAUUUUCAUUUUCUCGAUUUUGUGUGAUUGGCAAUAUAUUUAAACUUGUAGUAAGUUUCGUCGUGCUCCUUUAAGAACCUAUGGGUUAUGAUACCGCAUACUAAAGAUAAGAGAUUAAUUAAAAAGCAAUUCAAGAUGGCUUGACAAUGAUAUGCAAGUGGUCAUUUAUUCAGCGAGUCGAGUUGUCCUUAUUAAUGCUAUGACAAACUGCAUUUACAUAGUUCUUAGUUCUCAUGUUUAAUUUGUGAGUUAGUCCAUGGCCAGCAUGUUAAUUCAUGUUUAGAGUGUUGCACCCUCAGUCAUAACAUUGAUAUAGUCAAUUACUGUACGAGCAAUAUAAUCUCUUAUCAUAGGUAUAAGACCUUUUAGAUAUAGAUGUUUAGUGAUUGAAAUGGGUUACCAAAGUUUGAUGUGUUGUUUGUGUUCUUAUGUGUGCUUGGAUAGUUGUUAUUUCAGUUAUUAUUUCCAUGUACAAUAAAUAGUUACAACAAUAACGAGGUGUGUUUUCUCGUAAUUUUCUAAAAUCAUGAACAUAAUAAAUAUCAAGUUCAACCUGUUUUGUCCUAGAGUGUAAGACAGGCUUCACACACUUAAUUUUUUCUUAUUAUUUAAAGAAUAAAAAGGUAGAUAAAAUAAAUCAAGAAAUAGUUAAAGUAAUUUGGCAUUUAAAAUACAACCAGUGGAAAAAAGUGUGCAUCAUCAACAUCCACAAGAGCAAUAAAAAAAAUGAUAAAAGUUAACAUUGAUACAAAUAUAGUUGAUGAUCAAGUUGUGUUAGAAAUCAUAUCUAAAAUAUAUUAUCUACAAAAUUCAGUAUAAAAUCCCCUACUCAGCUUGAAAUUUUAUCACAUCAAAUAAAAAUGAGCCGAAGUGAUAGCAUUGUUGCAAAGGUUGAGCUAAAAUCUAAUAUUGAGAAGUUCUAUGGCUUCUUCAGAAACCAUGUGGAAGAUUUGAUGAAUCUAUUUCCUGAUUUGUACCAAGGCAUUGAUCUUGUAGAAGGGCAAUAUUUAUCUGCUGGAUCUGUUAUACUAUUUAAAUACCAUCUUGGUGAGAAUACUACUUUUUAAUUUUCUCUUAAUAUAUAUAUAUAUAUUCUUCUCUCCUAGUUAAUACAUUUAUAUUCCAUCCUAUUCUCCAUUUCAUUUAGGUUUCCUUGGGGACAAAAUUCUUAAAAUAUAACUAAUUUUGGCUACGUAAUUUAUUGACAUGAGUUUGCUCAAGGGUUAAGAAGGAAUGAGAUAUCAAUCUAUAUAACUAACUACCUAAGACUUAAUAUCUCAAGAUUAAGGGGGGAAAUUUUGAAAAGGGUGCCAAAAACAGACUCCAAAUUGUUGUGGUCAAAAUAUAUUGACAUAUCUAUUAUUUUACUACCUCCUUCCACUCUUUAAAAAAAGAAAGAUAGGGUUACUGUAAAAAAUAUCUCAUUCUUAAAUAGUCGAAUUUUACAUCUAAUAUUGAACUUAAAGACAUUCAAUUUUAAGCCUAUCAGAUUCUUUUAUAUAUAUCCGUGUGUGACUUUUUUAAUUUUUAAUUUAACGAUCAAACAGGAGCUGAUCAAGUUGUUUCAGAAAAAUGGUUAAUUAGAGCUGUGGAUGAUGCAAAAAAAUGCAUAAUCUACGAAGCUAUUGAAGGAGAUUUGCAAAAGUAUUACAAAGUUCUUAGAGCAAAGCUGGAAGUUGUUCAUGGAAGAUCAAGCAAAAUAGGAAGAGGAAGCUUCGCAAAAUGGACUAUUGAGUUUGAAAAGGCUAAUGAGAAUGUGCCUUCACCUGACAGCCACAUGGAAAUUUUUGUCAAAAUUUCCAAAGGAGUUGAUGCUUAUUGUCUUUCCAAACAAGGUAACUAAAACCCUAAAAUCCCAACUAAUUAAGUUCGCAAGUGUGUGUGAAACCUAAACUAUGCCUCUUGUUUUAAUUUAUGUACAAGGUUUGUUCCCAAAUAAGAAAUUGUGUGUAAUGUGAUAUAUGUACACUAAGAAUAAUUAUGCAUGUGGGAUUUAGGGAAAUGUGUGUAUCUGAUGUAAUCUGUAAUAUUUUGAAGAUGAAAAAUGUACCUGUAUGUGUUUUUUUUUUUUUAUUUGUAUUUCUAUGAAGGUAUUGAAUUGUUGAAGUUUAACCUUACAGAACAAAAGUAUUUCCGAUUAAACACGUGGUGGUUCAAUGCAUAUUAGUUUAAAAGUCGUAUCAAUAAAAUUGUGAGAUGUGUGUUAGAUAUUUUGUAAAGACGGUAUAAAAACUGAAAGAAUUUCAAUCCAAAUAAUUAAAGCAUGUAAUUCCUUUCUUUGAUUUCUUUAAACAAUUAACCAUUCAGAUUAAAAAGAAAAGUUAUAACUAUAAUUGAACUUACGUUGCGGAUAUGUGAUCACAACGAAAUGAUACAACGAAAUAUCAUUGCCAAUAUAGUGUCUCCACGUUCGUGAAUUCUUUUAAUUCCAAGAGAUACCCCAAAUUGAGAAAACACACAUUUAGUUUUGUUGUAUUGUUUGAUGUACCGUAAAUAACAAAAAACUACGGAAGCACAUAAAAGCACAUCGAGAGAAUACAUCAAAUUUUGGGUUACUUUGCUAACCCAGUUCGAUGACACAAGAUCUAUAUCUAUUUGGGAGGCCUUUAACCUAAUUGAAAAGAUCAUUUAUAAGGAUGGAAGAGGAUCACGAUUACAUAACUUAUCAAGAAUCAACUAUCUUGGAUCAUAUGAUUUAGAUAAACGUUUAGGCUCCUCUAAAUCACAUGAUGUGUGAACAACAUGUUUCUCCCUUAUGUCUCAAAGUGCAAUUCUAAUUUGCACAAAUCUUCUCAAACAAUGUGUUCAGCACCAUACACCACUCUCAACGCAUAAUUUUGUUGCACAUUUUUCACACUUCUAUCUUCAACCACACCAAUAUCACAUGGUCACAAGUUUAUAACUUUUAGGUCAAACGGGUGGUAGUAAAAACAAAAACCAACUCCAUCAAUUUAUUAAUAAAUAUUAACUAUAUACUUAUUAAUAAAUAUUAACAAAUAUAGUAACCACCCCAAUAGAAUAUCUUUAUUAGCCAACUGAAUAUAUUAAUAAAUAUAAACCAACCUAACAACUAAAUCUACAAAUUAUCCAUAUAUUUAUUAAUAGAUAUUAACUAUAUAAAAAAUUAAGCUCCAAUUUCAAUAAAUUUAACCAACACAACUUGUGGAUAAAAAUACAGGAAAUGUGAGAAAGGAUUUUUCUAAAAUUUUUGGAAAAUUAAUUUGUACGAGGACAAUCUUAGAGUAAUUGUAGAGAUUACUUUGAGGAGAGUUUUUCAUGAGAGCUCUCAAGGGCCCUACGUAUAGAAGAAAUUGGCCAUUCCAAAUUAACUCUUUACAGACUCUUUAAUUGAAAUACUUAGUAAAAAAAAUUAAAACUAUCUACAAACAAAAUCAUUAAAUUUUCUAUUGUUUAUCUGUGAUUUUGGCUAUAUUUUAUAACUAGUUUUCAAUUUUUUUUUCUUUUUUUACUAUUUAUAACCAUUCCUCGAUCUGUAAUUCAAAUAUAAUUUAAAUUAACUAACUUAAUUAUAUGGAUCUCUUCUACAUAAUUAAUUGUUUUUUAAUCUUAUGCAAAUAAAUUAUAUUAUCAAGCUUUUAUUUGAAUCUCAUUGAAAUAAAAUUUCAAAUAAAUUAUAUAUUAACUGUAUCAUAUGGAACAAGUUGUGUCCAUGGAUAUAGUUAGUAUAAACAAGUCAAAUGUCCAUUUUACUCAUGUAAUUAGCUCAUUUAGUGAACAAUUUGUUUACGGUUCAACCACAUAAAUGAAGGCGCUCUUGAGAUAGUAAGAGGAUAGGGCCCCUUGUUCGUGAACCAAAAUUAGCAUUUUUCUAAAAUUCAUUCAAAGUUAUCAACACUGAAGGAAACAAGUCAUCCACUUUUCUUAUGCUAGAAUGAGUGAAUUUCAAUUUAUGAAUUUAUGUACCAAGCUCCCUAUUUAGUGAAGUCUCUAAAGUGAUAAAAUUAUUGAGUUGACAACUCAGAUCACUCUCACACCCGAGCAAUUAAAAGACUGGCCUCACAAAUAAGAGUUCAUAAAACACUAAUGAUUAAGAUUGAGCUCCAAAGAACAUCAUACGAAAUAAUAAUCUCAUCAUGUAAUAGAACUUACAAAGAUAGAUAUUACAGUACAGUUUGAUACUAUUCAUACUUUUCGUAUAGAAUACCCCACUCACAUGUCUCCACAUGAAUAAUGGUUUGGAUCAAACCAUUUGUAAUUAUUAAAAAGUUGGACAUAUCCUAAGUUAUUUAUUGAACAUGAUCCAUUCGUAUGUCAACUACAUGUUCGGACUUCAUACCUCAACGAAAAUAAUGUUUUCUAUUAGAAAUUAAACUUAAUGAUUUCCUAAAUCUUAAUGUGGUCAGUUAAGGUAUAUCAAUUUAUACUUAGUAUACAUUUCAUUUAAUUCAACAGAUAAUUAACCUGAAAUUUGGAUUUCUAUGUGUGUAAAAUAAAGAGGAGCACGUACAAAAAAAAAAUAAAUAAAAUAAAAAAAUAGAACCAUAAUAAACAUACUUGUUGUCUGCAAAAAUAACAAAAACGAAGUUCAAUCCACAUGUAAAAGAUGUAAAAUAUCACAAAUAUUCUUACUAUUAUGAUAUACACCUUAUAUAUUUGAUAUAUUGGGUAAACUAGUGAUGUAUACACUUGAUAAUGAUAAACGUGUAAUCGAUAUACUUGAUAUAGUAUUUAUCAAUCAAACACUCUCAUUUAAAUUAUUUAUAAACUUAAUAGACUUGAGUGAUAAUAUACUUGGUAAGAUGUAAGUGACAUGCUGAUAAACUCAGUAAUAAUGCAAUUAACACUAUACUAAAAAGAAUCAAUAAGGUUGGUAAGUUUAUGUAGAAAGAAAAUUUUGAAUUAAAAAGUUAAACAUUACUUGCUAAAAAGAGAGAUGUAAUGGAGAAAAUAAUGAAGAAAGAAACAAAAAUUAUUAAUAAUAAUAAUAUAUUAAAAAAAUUAAAUCCACACACUUUCCAUCCCCUCAACAUUUAAGAAGCUGUUUAAAAAGGUUAAUUAUAUCAACUUGUACAACUAAACUAAUUAUUAAAGUUUUUCUUUUUUUUUCUAAUAUAGUAUAGGCAACUACAUCAUUUUAAGUGGGGAACUCCAUUACUCAAUAAUGCCAAUAGCCAAAAUAUGUUUUUAAUUCAUACUUUAUUUCUUACCUAAUAAUUUCACUAUCACAUAUUCCACUUUCCAAAAAUAAUUAAAACAAAUAUAUAUGAUAAUAGAUUUGACGUUACAUACCUUUUUAAAAUUGCAAAAAUAGUAAAUUUAAAAAUAAAUUAUCGUUAGAUUAUCGUCUAAUUACUAUCAUAUUUGUCAAAUUUGUAAUGUGCAACAAAUAAAUUUAAAAAUAAACUAUCGUUAGAUUAUCGUCUAAUUACUAUCAUAUUUGUCAAAUUUGUAAUGUGCAACAAAUAGGUGUUAUGAACUAUUUUUUUCUAAAUUUUUUUUGAUCAUUCAAUGCAAUCUUCUUAUAUAAUAUUGUUUUUUCAGAUGUGAAAAGGAUCCCUCUAAACCAAACUGAUUUACAAUCCCUAUAAAACCACACAAAUAGGCAACCUUCUAAAAGAAUGUCAAUUUAAAAAUACAUUCAUCUCUUCUUGGAGUGAGCAGUGGCCAAACCAAUCCAACUCAAAUAAAUUCAUUAAUUAAAGCUAUAUGAUGUAAGAUUAUAUGUUAGAAGGGCCAAUCAAAUGAAUAAAUAAAAUCUUAAUUAACUCACUUGACAUUCAAUGCACUGAUAACCAAAUAAAAAUCUAUUAGUUUGAAUUUUCCUACCUCUAAUUAUUGUACUAAAAAAAUUGAACGAUCAUGUGAAUAAAUUAUUCUUCAGUAAAGGUUAAAAAAGUCUACAAAUACACAUAUAUUAAAAUGUGCAUUUUUAUUUAACUUCAUUUUUAUAAAAUUGAUUUGAAGAAUUGUGACCGAUUUUCUUCAAAUAAUUUACUUUUAAAAUUACACACAUGGAAAUGUAUAUUACAAUUAAAGGUUGAUAAUUUAGAAGACAUGUACUUUGAAAAAGGCAUAGAUUCUGUCAUAUAGAAAAGACGUAAAAUAAUUAAAAGAAGAAUAAUCCAAUUGAUUAUUUGGGUUUUUUUAAAAAAAAAAUAGAUAAUUUUUACUUUUUUAAGAUACUCAAAUUUAUAAAUGCCUAAAAUUAUAAAUAACUAGAGAUAAUCAUAUUUAUUCUAUACGAAUAUUUUUGCACCUAUUUUGAAAACUGUGUUUGUUUAAAGAUAGUUUACAUAAAUUUAACCAAACUCAAAAAUAUUCACGGUCCGUGUAACAAUAAAAUUAAAGUCCAUGAAAUCAUCAUUGUUUUUCAUAAUUUUAAAUUGGACUGACAAGAAGAAAUGGCAAAUUAAGAGGCUUACUUUGGAAAAAUAGCAAAUUUAUUUUUAAAUUGUUGGAAUAGCAAAACUGAAAAAUCUGAAAAAUAAAUAAAUGGAACAAUGUCUCAAAUGCCCCUAUCCAAUUUAAAAACAGUUCUAAAUACAAUUGUUCACCUAAAACUCAAAUACCUUGCAAUUAAAUAACACAUCAUUGUUGAAAUUGUGCAUGUUUAGGUAUUCAAAGCCGAAAAGAAUCCAGCCUCACUACCUUCCACUUUCAUAGAUUCUACCAAAUCUUCAAAGUCUACGAUCAUUUGCAGAAAAGAUUGGAGCUUCAAGCUUCGUCCUCCUCAAAACUUUCAAAGUCUUCAUACAUUCAGUACAAAUCAAAGAACUUUCUUCUUGCCAACCAUCUUCUUCAUCAAACCGAUUAUAGAUUUUUUUUCGUCUCGCGCAAAGUUGAGCUUCUCCAACGGAUUUUCUUUUUCGCUUGUUUAAAUUACAGCAACAAUAUAUCCAUUUGAUUCUUAGAAAAGAUACAGUGUAAUUACAUCAAAAUACAUUGUAUUCGAUAUCAAACUUCAACCACAUACCUUGUAUUCUCCUUUUCCGUCUUCUACCCUCUUUGGUCUUUUCCAAAUGAUCUAAAAAUUAAUAUUAUUUUAACUUCAAGGGGUAAUUAAGAAAAAAUACAACAAAACCCCUACAACAACAAAGUUACUAAACUCCGGCGACAGACGGUGGCUGAAAGUUUUGGCAUAAUCGGUGAACGAAUGUAGAUGAAGGAGACUGACGUGGCUAGGUGUGCGACGCUUGAAGUAACAAGUGGCGCAAAGGCGCUCGGCUUCGGAUGAAGUAAACGUGCGUUUAGCGGCAUGCAAAGGUAGAGAUCUCGACUUGACGAAGAACACUCGAACGGAGAUGGAGGUGUCGACGGCGGCUAGGGUUUGGUGAGAGUGAAGAACAUGACGACGAAUAGUAAUAAUAAUAUUAUUAUAUUAUUGUUUUCCCUUAAAUAUCUUCCUUUCCCUUUUUUAUUUUCCAAUUUAAAUAAAAAAAAUAUUUUCUUUUCAAUUAAUUCCUUUCAAAAAUAAAAUAUUCAUUUUUUAUAGAUAUUUUGGAAUAUAAAUAAUUCAAAAAUGGUAAAUUUAUGUUUGCUAUUACUUUGGAGAUAUAAAUAAUUCAAAAAUGGUAAAUUUAUGUUUGCUAUUACUUUGGAGAUAUAAAGAUAAUCUUAGCAUGAUUUUGGGGAUGAUAAAAUUUUAAAUUCAAAUUAUUAUUAACAAUAACUAUUUUUAUAAAUUUUUAAAUAAAUUUUAAUAUUUCGGUGGUUUCAAAUCAAAAUUUAAAAUCUAUUUUUAAAUAAGAAUUGUGGAAAAUAGAUAAAGGAUAUUAACAAGAUAAUUCUAAAAUUUUGAAAUUAUGUUUGACAUCAUUAUAAGAAAUCAAUUAAGUACCACGAUUAUAGGGGAAAAUCAAAAUUUUCUUAGUAUAAUCAUAUAUACAUUAAAUGCAUCAUAAUUAUAGGGGUAAGAUACAAUUUUAAUUUUAACAACCACAACUAAAUAAAUUGUUAAUUACUUGAUUUGAAACCUACAAACACGUAAAUAUGAAAUAAAUUGCACGCUUAAAUCUAGGGGAUGUUGAUUCAAUCAAAUUCAUUUCGAAAAUAAAUAUUUAUUUAAUAUUUUUACAUAACUGAAUGAUUUGCAAAUACACUGUAUUCGUGAUUCUGAGUUAUAUUCCAUCAUUUUAACCUACACAAGUACAUUGUAUCUAUCAGAUAAGAAUUUUUCUCUAUACAAGUAAAAUCGGCUAAAAAUAUAAAAAAAUAAAAUUAUUGUAUUUAUAUUUGACACAAUUUUAGAUCUAUCUAAAAUUGAAAUUGAAAUUGUUAUUAAAACUAUAUCAUGUAUUAUUUAAAAAAUUGUACAAAAUAACAUGUUUAGUUAAGAUUUACCAAAUUUGAAUGUUAUUACUACAAUAUUCUAAAGAUAUCAAUGGUAAGAGAUAUUUAAAUUAAGAAGGUUAAAGAAAGGUGACAUUUGUAAACGUUGGAUUAUGAGAAUGUGUUAGUAAAAUCCUAGUUGUUAGUAUAAAUAGGAUGGAUGUCCUACCAUUUGUAUUGAACCAAAAAAUAAUUAGAAGUGUCCAAAAUUUCUUUCCAACAUAAAACAAACAUGUAUUUAGAAAAGGGUGGUGUGAACCAAACUCUAAUAGAGGUGCUGCAAACAUAACUUUGUAGAUUUAGGGACAAGUUUUCCAAGAUAGAUCUGAUCAACAACCGCUAGUUCUAAUCUCCUUAGGGUUUGUAUAUAUACUAAGAUCAUAAUGUAGUACAUAGUACAUACGUGAGGUUUAUUGAUAUAUUUUAUUUUAAUUAAUUUCAGGAUUUUAUCUUCCUUAUUUAGUGUGCUAAUAAUAUGGAGAUAUACAUUUGCAAAAUAACUAAAUACACAUGUGUAAAUAUGACAAAACAUGAGAACUUAUAUCUUCUUACAUAUAUAUUUUAUGUAACAUACAAAAAACUAUCAAUACUUGAAAUAAAUAAAUCUCCUCGUACAUAUUGUUAGAAUCUUAGAAUAUUUGUGGAAAGAUUAUGGGAAUAUUUUCUUUAAUUCCUAAAUCUUUUCCUUUUUUAUUUCUUUGUAUAUUCUAUUUAUUCUUCAUUGUACUUAUUAUAUUAUUCAUUAAAAAAUAAUAACAAAAAAUAAUCAUGGUUUUUCUCCUGGUACUUGGCUUUCCACGUAAAUCAACGUGUGCUCUUUGUCUCACAACCAUAUUGAAACUCUAAAAAACACAACCAAUGAUGAAAAUCAAAUAGAGGAGACAACCAUCGGUUUUAGUGUCGUCAUCGCCGUCGAUGCUCAAAUGAGUGCUGCCAUGGAUGAAUGGUUCAGCUGCCUACAAAAAAUGAUGAAAAUAAAUUCUCGUAAGUUCUGCAGUUGUUCGCAUCACCGAGCAUGUCUAUGUGCCGUUACCGUACACGCGUCGAUUUUUCCUCCUUAGAUGGUGUCGGUCAUCCCAUUUAUGCAACCAUUUUCUUCAUUUGCAGCCUAUAUUGCUCCUCACACCCGAAUUUAUGUACUGCCACCUAAUUUUGGUCAGCCACCACCACUUUUGCCGUCAAAUCUGUAUGCUAUGCCACCUAUUGAUCCAAGUUAUCAUCCCGAUGUUAAGAAUCCUCAAAAUCACUCAACAUUUGAGGUUGACACAUUCCAACCAUAACUUGCAAGCUUCCUCGAGAAUAUCUCAAUAGCAUUUGAAAGGGCUUUGAAAAUAGAUCACAACACUUGAGGUUACCUUAAGACUACAUCCAAUAUUUUUGUACCGAUGUAUUAUGAGAAUCCAUAAACCCGUUCCCUAAUUUGUCCUCUCCUUAUGUGACUAAUUCCAUGGCUCAAUCUUCGACAUAUCAUCUUCAAGGAAAAAAGUUGAAUGAUAAUAACUAUUUCUCAUGGUCUUAGUCGUCCUUGAAGAACAACAUAAACUUAGCUUUCUAACAGGGGAAAUACCUCGCCCCCUAUCGGUUGAUCCAAAGGAACUAUACUGGAAGGUGAAAAACUCUAUUCUUGAAUACAUAUUGAUCAAUAGUAUGGAACCUUAGAUUGACAAGUUGUUACUGUUUGCUACAACAACCAAAGAUAUUUGGGACACGACCUAGACACUUUACUUCAAAUGUCAGAAUACAUCUCGCCUAUACACGCUGAGGAAGCAGGUUCAUGAAUGCAAGCAAAGAACCAUAGAUGUCACAUUUUUUUUUAAUAAGCUUUCUUUUUAUUUGGCAGGAAAUGGACCUAUAUAGAGAACUAGUCUGACAUGAUUCGAGUGUUAGUGUGUAGCACUCUAGAAUUGAAGAGUGAUAGGAUUUUAUGACUUUCUUGCUAGGUCUUAAUUCUAACCUUUGCUUAAGGUUCUGAAAACUAUCCUCACAAGCUGGACUCCAAACAAAUGGAGUUCCCUUCCUUGUCAACUGAGUCAAGGGAGUAGCCAAACGUGAAAAAUCCUCCACAAACCUCCGGUAAUACCCUGCUAAACCCAGAAAACUACGAACUUCACUAACUGUAGAGGGUCGAGACCAACUGGUAACCGCUUCAAUCUUUGCAGGAUCUACAGAAACUCCCUCACUGGAAACCACAUGCCCAAGAAAAGCCACCUGCUUCAACCAAAAUUCGCACUUAGAGAAUUUAGCAUACAGUUUAUUGACUCGAAGAGUCUCUAACACUUUAUGUAAGUGUUUCUCAUGUUCGGCCUCAGUCUUGGAAUAAACCAAAAUAUCAUCAAUGAAGACUAUCACAAAAGUGUCUAAGAAAUCCUUAAACGGGUCCAUAAAUACUGCAGGUGCAUUAGUCAAACCAAAAGACAUUACUAUGAAUUCAUAAUGUCCAUACCUCGAACGAAAAGCAGUCUUAGGAAUAUCACUGUCUCUAAUCCUCAACUGGUGAUAACCUGACCGUAAGUCAAUCUUAGAGAACACCGUGGCUCCCUUUAACUGAUCGAACAAAUCAUCGAUUCUAGGUAAAGGAUAUCUGUUCUUGAUUGUUACUUUAUUCAACUCUCUAUAGUCAAUGCAAAGACGCAUCGACCCAUCCUUCUUCUUCACAAACAAUACUGGUGCACCCCAAGGCGACACACUAGGUCGAAUAAAACCUUUGUCAAGCAACUCCUGUAACUGUACCUUCAGUUCUUUCAACUCGGCAGGAGCCAUCCUAUAAGGGGCUCUAGAAAUGGGAGUAGUGUCUGGCUCCAACUCAAUGGCAAAAUCAAUAUCCCUAUGUGGCGGAAGUCCUGGAAGAUCUUCUGGAAACACAUCUGGGUACUCUCUUACCACAGGUUCUGAAGUUAAAGAAGUCUCAUCUUCCCUAGUAUCCACCACACUUGCCAAAAUACUCCAGGUACCCUGGUUGAGCAGUUUACUAGCUUUCAUAGCUGAGAUUACUUUAGGCAAUACUACGGUUCCUACCCCUUUGAACUUAAAGCUAGAUUCGGUAGGGGGACUGAACACAACCUCCUUACGAGAACAAUCAAUACUAGCAUGAUUAGUAGCUAGCCAAUCCAUACCUAAAAUUACAUCAAAGUCACGCAUAUCUAAUACCAACAAGGUUACGUCCAGCACACGACCAGCUAUCUCAAUUUCACAUGCUUUAAUCUUUUCCUUAGACAACAUAAUUUCUCCAGACGGUGUAGACACUGACAAGACAUAAUCUAAGGGUUCCACCUCUAAGCAUGCAUGCGUCACAAAAAGCGAUGAGAUAAAUGAAUGAGAAGACCCUGAGCCAAACAAGGUUAAGGCAAAAUGCCCUAACACUGGUAAUGUACCUGUCACCACUGUGCCGACCUUCUCUGCUUCUGAUCUAUUAGUGGUAAAGAUUGUACCCCGCUGUGGAGGUCUUGCUCCCUGACUGCUCUGUCCAGCCCCAGUAGAUCUCAAGGGACAUCGAUCAGCCAUGUGUCCCUCUUGCUUGCACUUAAAACAGACUCUCGUUCCCAUCAAACAACGACCCAGGUGGCAUUUCCCACACGUAUUGCAUAGUGGCUUCUUUCUAGUAGUGUCUCCUGCCCCACCAGAACUCUGCUGGAAACUGUGAAAAGGAUCGCCUGAUCUCAAGUUUCUCUGAGGAACUCCCACAAUUCUCUGCUCUGCUUUCCUCUUCUGACCAGACGACGUUCCCUUAUCAGAACUCCUUGCCUGAAUUUCAUCCUUCCCAAUACUCAUAUCCACUGCCAGACGCAGCGCUUCAGCCUGGGUAGUAGGCUUUAGUGCUCGCACAAAACCUCUAAUCUCAUCUCUCAAUCCUUUGACAAACCUCUCAGCUCUAGCCUGCUCAUUACCAACAAGUUCAGGGGCAAAGCGCGACAGCAUAUCAAACUCCUGGUUAUACUCCUCAACUGUCAUGUGUCCUUGCUUCAAUUCCAAGAAUUCCUGGCUUUUGGCGUCUCUAAGGUUAGCCGAGAAAAACUUGGUAUAGAAGCAGUCUUUAAACUGAUCCCAAGUGAUCUGUCUCACAUCUCCACCCAACAUACGCAUCGUAGUCCUCCACCAAAUAAUACCUCUGUCCCUCAGAAGAAAAGCAGCACACUGAACCCUAUGCUCCUUUGGACAUCUCAUGUAAUUAAAUAUGGCUUCCACAGAGGACAACCACAACUCCGCUUUAGUAGGAUCCUCCAGUGACCCAUCAAACGUCUGAGGGUCAUAUUUCCUAAAGUCCUCUCAAAUGUUUCGCCUCAGCAGAAAGUUGGUUCGGUAGUAUCUGUGCGGCUGUUGUGCAGCCAAUCCUUGUGCAGGAGGGGCUGCUGGUGUAGGUGGAGCUGCUGGUACAAGGGGAACCACAGGUGCAGGCGGAACAACUGGUGCAGGUGGAAUUGCAGGUGCCUGCUGGUUCUGAGCUAUAGCCGUCAUAAGCUCCGUGAACCUCUGCUCCAUGUGAGUAGACAGUGCAGCAAACUCAACGUGAGUCACGGGUGCAGUAGGAAUUCGCUGUUCAGCUUGACCCUCAGUAGGUUGAUUACGACCUGCUCCUCUACCCCGGCCUCUACGACCUCCUCUACGAACACCUCUCUUUGGCGGCAUAAUUCCUAUUAUCCACCAACAACUCUCUUUUAAAAAGUCUUAAUCAUAAGCAUAAGCAAGUCUUUAUCAUCGUGCAAUCUAGUUUAAUUUACAAAGUCAUGCAAAUAAACCAUAUAUAUAAGCAUAAAGCAUACCUGACGAGAGACGAAGGGUCGCGUUAGCCAUAUGGACACAAAAACAUAGACUUACAUCGUAAGUCAGUCUACAGAACCUAAAGCUUAGGCUCUGAUACCAACUGUAACGACCUAACUUUUUACCUAAGUCGAUGUCAUUAACGUUUGACAAAAGACCUUGGUUAAUUAAAAUUUCAAACCUCAAAAGAACAAAAUUUAUUUUGUUUGUUUGGGCCCCAGUUUUAAAUUACUAAAAUCCACAUGAAAAUUUAAAACUAAAAAGUUUCAAAUCUUUGAAUACUUUAAAACCUUAAAAUUUUCUAAACAGUCUCACGUUCGAAUACAAAUAAUACUAUAAAUCACUAAGCGGAAGCAAAAUUUUAAAGUGUCCCUUGUGGCGGUCACGCUUCCUUCCUGCCCCUCGCCGGUUUGCCGCAUUUAUUACCUUUGCCUGAAAAAUUAAACUUAAGGAGGGUGAGUAUAAAAAUACCCAGUAAGAGACCUUCUAUUGGUCCCGUCAGGGGAAAAUAAAUUUUUAACAUUCUAUUGGGACACCCUGUACAGUCGCAGUCUUGUGAUCCUGUAGGAUGCACAUUUCAGUCUAAUGCCCCGAGGGACGUACAUUUCAGUCUAGUGUUCUGCAGAAACACAUAUCAGUCUAAUGCUCCCGAAGGGUGCAGAAUAAUUGGUGAUCCCGUUGGACACCUACAAGGCACACAUCCCAAUAAAAGCUAACAAUUUUUCCCCUCAGUCCAUUCUAAACUUUUAAACAGUUAUUCAUAGUUCAGUUAAAUAUUCUCAUUUCAUAAACUCUUCACUUGGUCCCUAACAGUCAUCUUAUUUGAACUUAGCUCAAGGCCAGUCAGAAGCACGUCAGUACAUCAGUGAACAACUAAACAAUCAUAACAUCCACUUUAGUCUACAAGGACACAACCACGACCUUUCCUCAAUUCACAGAAACACAAUCAUAACCAUAUAUCAUAUAUUCAGUCAAACGACAAUCUACCAGUUCCACCCUACAUUUAAGCAAGAACAUCUAUAACUUUCGGUCAUUCAAAAUCCAUAUGUGUAAAAAUACAUAUCCAGUCAGUCACAUCCAGUCAGUCACAGCAUGCACUCAAUACCAAGUCCACAUCAUUCCAUACAUAAAUAUAUCUGUCUUUCCUAGUUAAACACAAUAUACACUAAAUUCCAAUUUAACCAUACAGUCCAACAUAACUCAAAAUUUUAGGUGAGUCCAGUAGAAAGUCCCUUACCUCAAAGUUAGGGAACCUCCUUAAUCAACUAACGUCCACGAAACAAUCCUAAGCCUAACAAUACAAAAUUCGAUUACUUUCACGAUACAUAUCUCACUUACUUUCCUCAACGUAAGUUCCAACUCACCGAAGUAUUGGCGAACUGAACCCUCAACAAUUCACAAAUUGGUUGUGAAUUUAAGGGGCCCAACGUUACUCCCAACACCUUCAAGAAUCAAUUAACAAAUUAGCUAAACAUUCCAACCAUUCCAACCAUAACGCUUGAACCACUUUGAAACAAAUUACCAUUCAUACUUAAAUUAUUACCAACAAAGCAACCUCGAUAAGAUUGUAAAACAGAGGCAGCGGCACACCUUGACGCACGACUGUCGAACUCGCAAUAAAAAUCCUAAGUGUGGGUCGGUCAGCGGUCGGCUAAAGGAGAUGUGGCGGCUGGGCUUCACAGAUGGAGAUCGACGCGAACAAACCGCGAAUCUGAACGGUUACAACAAAUCUGAACGGUUACAGCAACUAGUCAGCCGACGUCGAUAGCAGGUGGAGCGGCGGAGCUUCGCGAAACAGAGUGAUUCGUGAUGGAGAGACGGCGUACGGCUGGACUUGGCUUCGACGGAGACAGAGGUUGCGCGGCGGGGCUGGGCGGACGGUCACGCGGCGCUGGGAAGCAAACAGAGGAGAAAGGAGAGGGGAGACAGCCGGCGGUUGGGCUGCGGCGAACGGAAGGGAAGAGAGGGAGGCGUGCGGCUAGGGUACAGGAAGGAGAAGAAGAAAAAAAAUGGAGAGAGAGGGGUUUGCGCGCGGGAGGAAGAAGAAAGGGAGAUUUUCUUUUCUUUUCUUUUAUUUAAUUUAAUAAUAAAAUUAUAAAAUAAAUAAAUAUAUAUAAGGAUUUUUUUUAAAAAUAACGUGUCUUGUGAAAGUAUUUUCAAAAAUAGGGUAGUUGGGAAAGAAAUUAUAAGAAUAAGGUUGUUUCCCAAACUAUUUUCAAAAAUAGGUGUUUUUUUGAAAUUGAACGAAGUCGUGUACGAGGUACACGACUUCCAAAUGAAAUUGAACGAAGUCGUGUACGGGGUACACGACUUCCUAAAUGCACAUGUCAGCACAUUUGACCACUUCGCUCCACGUAUGCACGAGUUUGACCCAUGUGGACGGAAGUCGUGGACGGGGUACACGACUUCCUAAAUAUAUGUUUGUAAAAUUAUUAUAUUUUAAAAGAUUAACAAAAUUAGUUUUUGUUUAAAUGGCCAAAUUUUUGGUAGUUUAUGUUUAUUAUGAACAAAUUAAAAAAAUAAACCAAAGUUAAACACAUCAUGAGUGAUAUCUUAUAAGAAUUUUGAACGUUUUUUUUUAAUACUUGGUUCUCUACUUUUAAAAAAUAUAUAUUAUAUAUUGAUAUUAUUAAGAAUACUCCUACAUCUAAAUCAUAUAUUAGCAACUUCUAAUUUAUAAUUAAUUUAAAAAAGUUCAACUUUUUAUUUAUACAACUUGAAUAAGUUCUAGCAAAAUUUAAAAACACUUAAAUUAUACAACUUAAGAAGCUUCCCCAUCUCCCUCUACGACAUCAUCGCCUUGUCGUCGUCGUCGCCGUCGAAUGCGUCUACGAUCUGUGUCGGCAACAUUUAAACGUCGAGUCCGCUGAACAAGGCUGUCUAUAUCUCCCAUGACUUCGUCACACAUUGGACUAAAAAUUUCAAAAUUGUUUUCCAUGGAGACUCGACGUACGUCUUCAACAAAAUUAUUCUGAACGAUUGUAAAUAAUAUAAUUAAAAAAUGUUCAUGCUUGUAUUAAAUUUAUAAAUCAUAUUAAAACUAUUACCAUGCGAUAACAGUAAGCGUCAUCAGGUGUCAUGAAGCGUCGGGUAAUCGACGUGUACCAGGAAAAGUAGUUAUCUGAUACUGUGGGCUUCUGUGUUGCUUCUGCUUCGGCACAAAAAAGUAUUUCGUGAAUGCCACAUUGCUAUAUGCUCUGCAUGAAUCCUACUCCAAUCUUGAUCGUGCUUGCCUCUUAAAUCAAUUUGGUGUAGGCCCUGAUCUGUGGAGCAAAACUCUGGUGGCAUUUGUAGCAUAUGGAACUGUCGCAAUACACGAUCUGCUUGAUGCUUCUCAACGAGAUGAAAGCAAAUCAUAGGACCCACAUAUGUCCACAUCGCUUGACCGUUAUGACAUUGACGUGGAAGCAAUGCCAUAAUGUGGGACGUGUAUGGUGUCCAAUUAAUCUGUUAAAAAAAACGAACAUAAGGAAACAACAAAAAACAUGCCUACGCAAUAUUGAAUAUAAUAUUUUACUACCUGAAGAGUUGAUCAGCCGAUCAAAAAACAUUCGGUAGGUGAUCAACAUAUUUGCGGACAGUUCUGACAAUGGUAUAACGCCGCUCCAUCUAAUGUGAGAAAUGAAAUCAUUAAUAAGUUAUAAACCUUGCAAAUUUUACUAAAAAUAAUAUAUAUAUAUAAUAAUACCUGAAACUCAAAGGUCGACCAACUGACACCUCAACUGGUACUUGUGGUGCCAGAAUAGGAAAUCUGUCAUACGCCCAUACUUGCAACAAUAUUAAUGGGCCAGCAAUCUCUAAAGAUCGUGCAUUACUCGCUCGACACAAUUCCCUAUACAACCAUGCGAGGCAUGCAGCGCCCCAAGCGUACGUACCAGCCUGGUCAAAAUUAAUUAAAAGCGGGAGGAACAUAUAGUGGACCAGGGUGUUUGAUUUGUCUGUAAAUAGAAAGCCUCCAAUUAAUUGCAUAAUGUAUGCACGAGCGUAUCUUUGAACGCUCACUACAUCAGCAUCUGGUGGCAAUUCUGUGAACUGUUCUGCCAACCAAGGAAGGCUCAAUCGUUGACCUUUCAUUUCAGGUGGACGAACUCCCAAGUAAUCCUCACAUAGUACCUUCCAGUCAUAUAAUAACGACCCUACCACAGGCUCACCAUCCACAGGUAACCCUAACUGAACUGCAACAUCCUGUAGGGUGAUCGUGCAUUCCCCACAAGGCAUAUGAAAUGUGUGGGUCUCUAGUCUCCAACGCUCGAUCAGAGCAGUAAUCAAAUGCCAGUCCAACUGCAUAAAUCCUAUUUGGGAAGCCCCUAGAAAUCCAGCAGCCUCUAAAUAUGGUACAAUACGCUGAUCAAAUGGGAUCGUACGCUGAGAUGCUGCCUCUCUUCGUCGACAACUCAAAACAACUGUGGAGGAUGCCUCCCAUAUAGACUGUGAACGAUGGGAUGGUUGUAGAUAUAGCUGUGUAGGAUCACUCGGCCCAGGUUCCAUUAUGCAAAUAACCUAAAAAAUAUCGAAAUACUAUGAGGAUCAAUUGACCCAAAUUCCAUUACAUGAUUACAAUAUUAUAAAUUUAAGUUAUUAAUUUUAAAUACCAAUAAAUUAUAAUUAAACUAUUCAUCAAAUAUUAAGAUAUACAUCAAACAAUUACAUAGAAGUUAUGCAUUAAGAAUUACAUCAAACCCUAAAAUAAUUACAUAUCAGUGUCUUGAAGAAGAAGCACGUUCAGGACAAGUACGUCUGUUAUGUCCUUCUACUUUACAGAUCGUGCAUCUAAUUGAUUGACUAGACUCUUUCCAAUCCAUUUCAUUUUGGAUCCUUGUAGUUCUUGGUCGACCGGGUCCUUUAAGUAAGUCCGCAUUGGGGCGAACUUCAGUGAAUGAUAUCUCUGGCCAAUAAUCUGAGUGUUGGAUUGGAUGGAAGCGACCGUCAUAACAACGUUUGAAUGUCGACAACAAGUAGCAUUCAUCAAUGUAUGGUACGUAUGUCAAGUGCAUGUAAUUACAAAUUGCAAUUACAUGCGAACACGGAAUCUUAAACGACUGCCACUUAUUGCAAGAACAUGUCCCUUCCAUCAAACUUACUACCUGUGUGUGUUGGCCUUUGUAUGGAGAAGUCAUACUCAUACCCGUGUGAACCUCAAAUGUCUGGGUUUCUCUAUCAAUGGAUGUCACUGAAUGUGCAGAAGCUCGUUUUUCCCACUUCUUAAGCUUUCUUAUCGCAUAUUUCGUAUAAAUAUCACCACGAUCGAGUGCUUCACUUAUCUCAGCUCGCCGACGUUCGAAAUAAAGGAUUGUGCGAUAAAAUGUUAGUCUAACCAAAGAAGUGAUGGGUAACAUUCGAGCUCCUUUAAAUACACCGUUCAUACAUUCAGCUGCAUUGCUUGUCAUCCACCCAUAUCGAGACCCAUUGUCAUGUGACUGAGUCCAUUUUUCCACGUCAAUAUCUUCAAAAAACUCAAGACACUCUGGGUUCAAUCGUUGUAGUUCUUUCAUUAUUUUUAUAAAUUUGCGCCUUUGGUGUUGAUUACCUGCCCUAAACACCAAGUCUUUCAGUUGCUUUGAUUUAUAUUUCUGAUUGAAGUUGCUAGCAACAUGACGAAGACAAUAUCGAUGGACAGCUCGAGGUUCACUCCAACCUACCUCUUCAUUGUUAAUGGCAGAAAGAAUGUCCCUAUGUCUGUCAGAGAUCAAGCAAAUACCAUAUCGAUCAGUAACGUAUUCGCGAAGUGCACGAAGAAACCAUGACCAACUAGACGUGUUUUCCCCUUCCACUAUAGCAAAUGCAAGAGGAAAUAUAUGACCAUUUGCAUCAAUCGAUAAGGCAGUUAACAUUUUUCCCUUAUACUUUCCAUACAAAUGGGUUCCGUCGAUCUGAAUUAAUGGUCUACAAUGCUUGAACCCUUCUAUUGCAGGACCAAAUGACCAGAAAACCCUUCCAAAAAUGGUUGUACCUGGUACAUCGGAUGGAAGAAAAAACCAAUCAACUCGAGUUCCCGGAUUAUAAUGUACAACAGCACUCAACCAGUAUGGAAGCUCAUUAUAUGAUUUCUCCCAAUCACCAAAAACUGUUAUCAAAGCUUUUUUCUUCGCUUGCCAAACUUGUCCAUACUUAACACCGUAACCGUAUUGUUGUUUUAUGAUUUCCAUAAGCACAGACACAGUAAUAGUAGGAUCGGCUUUCACCAUGUUUUGAAUUUGAACACUCAUGAAAUUUGAAUCUAACUGUGAGUGAUCUUGUGUUAGAUUUGAGUACAGACACGAGUGCUCUCCUUGGAGCUUAGUUAUCUCAAACAAUCCGUGGCUCUUACGCUUCGUACCACGUAACCUCCAGUUGCAGCCAUUAGUCCACUGUUUGCAUCGAAUAUUCCACAAAUGUUGGUUUGAUUCGACUACAACAAUUUCAUAGUGUUGUGUCACACAAUACCUCUUAACAGCCAACAUAAGAUCUUCCUUAGAGUCAAAUAUCAUUCCCUUCUGUAUUAAACAAGAUGUGUCAACAGAUACAUUUCUAUCUGUCAAUGUACAACCUUGUUCACAAACAGAAUUCGCAAUGUCCCAAUCUAUUUGUGCAAAUAUAUUGGACGGGAUUCAUUUCAUUCUCUUCCUCUAUAUUUUCUUCAUUACCAAAUAGUUCAUCGACUUCUACAUCUAUAUCACUAUCUCCAUCAUUACCAGGUUCAAGAAUAACUAAAUCUUCAGGUCGCAACGACAUAUUUAAUUAGCUGUUAAAUACAAAAACGAUCAUCAGUUUAAUGUAUCUAUUUAUUUUAUUAGUAAUGUAGUGUACACAAAAAAGUGUACACAGUAAAUGUAUGGUUUAUUAUUAUUAUUAUUAUAAUUAUAAUUAUAAUAAUAAUAAUAAAUAAUUAUUUUAUUAUUAUUAUUAUUAUUAUUAUUAUUAGGAUUAUUAUUAUUAUUAUUAUUAUUAUUAUUAUUAUUAUUGUUAUUGUUAUUGUUAUUGUUAUUGUUAUUAUUGUUAUUAUUAUUAUUGUUAUUAUUGUUAUUAUUAUUGUUAUUAUUGUUAUUAUUGUUAUUAUUAUUGUUAUUGUUAUUGUUAUUGUUAUUGUUAUUGUUAUUGUUAUUGUUAUUGUUAUUGUUAUUGUUAUUGUUAUUAUUAUUGUUAUUAUUGUUAUUGUUAUUAUUGUUAUUAUUGUUAUUAUUGUUAUUAUUAUUAUUGUUAUUAUUAUUAUUAUUAUUAUUAUUAUUAUUAUUAUUAUUAUUAUUAUUAUUAUUAUUAUUAUUAUUAAAGUUAAAAAAACAAAAAAAAUACACUAAGGUUAAUGGUGCAUUAAUUAGGUUUUCCUUUUAGAUUUUUAUUAAUAAUUGUAUUUUUUAAUAAUAACCCCAAUAAUAAUUAUUAUUAAUAAAAUCAUUAUUAUUUUUACUAUUAUUUUUUUAUUAUUAGUCAAAUCAAGAUUAUUUUUUAUUAUUUUAUUAUUAUUACUAUUAGUCAAAUCAAUUGGGAAAGAAAAAAAAAAGUACAUUUAACAUUAAUUAGGUUAGGUUUUGAUUUUUUUAAUAAUUAUUAUUUUUAAUAAUAAUAAUAAUUAUUAUUGUUAUUAUUAUUAUUAGUCAAAUCAAUCGGGAAAGAAAAAAAAAGGUACAUUUAACAUUAAUUAGGUUAGGUUUUGAUUUUUAUUAAUAAUUAUUAGGUUAGGUUUUGAUUUUUAUUAAUAAUUAUUAUUUUUAAUAAUAAUAAUAAUAAUAAUAUUAUUAUUAUUAUUAAUAAGGUUAAAAAAUAACAAAAUUCAGAAAAAAUAUAAUAAAAUUCAAGGCAUAUAACAAAACUCAAAAGAUAUAACAAAAUUCAAAUAUAUAACUACAUUAAAAAAUAUAACUAAAUUCAAAAAUAUAACAAAAUUCAAAAAUAUAACUAAAUUCAAAAUAACAUAACUAAAUUCAAAAUAACAUAACUAAAUUCAAAAUAACAUAACUAAAUUCAAAAUAACCUAACUAAAUUCAAACAAUUUUUUUCCACAAAAUAAGAAAAUAAAAUAACAAAUCUAAAUAAAAUUAGGGUUAGACUAAACAUACCUUGUGAAGAUGAAUGAGACAAUGGAGGAUAGGAGACAAUGGAGGAUAGGGGAAGCCUACAACAAAAAAUAAAUUAUUUUAUCAACAUAAUAAUAAAAUAAAAUAAUUUUAACAACAAAAUCGUAUACCCCGUCCACGAUUUUUAGAAAAACAUACCUUUAUAAGGUAAUAGAAGAGGAAAAGUGAAGAUGAAGAGAAAAUUUGAAGAGGAAAAGUGAAGAGAUGAAGAGAAAAUUUGAAAGGAAAAAUGGAUGAGAGGAAAAGAGAAGAGGGGAAGAGGAAAUUUGAAGUUGGAAGGGAGAAUGAAAUAAGAAGAGAAAAGAUGAAGAGGGGGAAAGGAAAGAUGAAGUUGGGAUGAAGAAUGGGUUAGAAAGAGGAAAGAUGAAGUUGGGAUGAAGGAUGAGUUAGAAAGAGGAAAGAUGAAGUUGGGAUGAAGAAUGGGUUAGAAAGAGGAAAGAUGAAAGAUGAAUGAGAGAAAAAACUAGAUGAAGGAAGAUGAAAUAUGAAGGAAGAGGAGAGGAAAUAUGAAGGAAGAGGAGAGGAAAUAUGAAGGAAGAGGAAAGGAAAGAGGAAGGAAGAACGAAAAAGACGAAGAGGAAAAGUUUAGAGAAGAAGGAAAAAUUGUUUGGGAUGAAGGCAGAAUGAGAGAAAUUUAGGGUUUUUAAAAUAGGUGAAGUCGUGUACCCGGUACACGACUUCCUGCAUGCGCGACACGUGUCCGCUCCCUCUGCACCCUACGUCCACCCGUGAACCCUACGGUUGACUGGACUGUUGACCGUUGACUCAUUGUACGGAAGUCGUGGACGGGGUACACGACUUCCAUCAUACGCGGCAAAAUGUGCCAGCUGUACGGGAGUCGUGUACCGGGUACACGACUCCAGUCAGAAAACGUGGGCCGGGUCCACGACGCCACUCGGAUAUCGUGAGCCCGGUCCACGACACCAAAUCCAUUUGUGGAAGUCGUGUACCCCGUACACGACUUCAGUCACCUAUUUUUGAAAAUACUUUCUCAACUACCCUAUUUUUGAAAAUACUUUCCCAAAACACAUUAUUUUUAAAAAAAAUCCUAUAUAUAAUUAUAUUAUUACAUUUUCAAAUCUUCUUUCUCCCCCUUCAACAUAUUUUCUUCAAAAAAAUAAAUCUUGAACAAAUCGAAAAAAAUUUCUUAAAAUAAAAUACCUUCGAGUUUGGGGUGUUACACUUAUGGAUCGUUAUGACUGAUGCUUCAUGCCAUGUUUAUUUUGACGGUUACAUGCUUCUCAGAUUGAUGGUGUUUCAAGCUUUGGUUGUGUCACACUCUAUUCUAGGUUUUCCCCUCCAACCUAGAUCGUGCAUGAAAACACUUUUCGAAAACUACCAGCUUUUUCAACUUAAACUUUUAUAGAACAAGUAUUAUGAAAUUCUACAAAAAUUUCAACAUCUCUAUGUAUGUAUGGAUGUAUGUAUGUAUGUAACUUCAGACUCAAAUCACAUCAAGUGUGUCUCACUACACACUCAUCCAAACUAGUUCAGAGUCUCAAUCAGAGUUUGUAUCCAACUAGGAAUUUAGUUACAAAAGAAUUACAUUCCACUUAUAAAUCUUUCAAAAUACAUAACCAUAACAUGACCCUUACUACUUCUAACUACCCCAUGAAGUAAUACAAACUUAAGUAUAUACAUAUGGAAGAAAUGAGAAUCUACAAAUAGUGAUGGAAAACUCAACGAAAUGCUUGGACCUUGACCUUUACCAUGGGAAAAAGAACAUUGAAAGUGUAAGCGAAAACUUAGUGAGUGACAAGGUUUUAAAAAUAAAAGCUCGUAAAACAUGCUCUAAAACUGUUUAAAUAUGACAUCAAUAAAAAAAAUAAUAAUUAAAACGUUAAAAUCGCAUAUUACCAAAAUUUGCAAGUAUUUGCGAACAAACCUGUACCAUAUGAGAGUCUAUUAUAUCAGAGUGCCUAAAUAUACAGCCGAGAAUAGCUUGCACAUGGUUAAGAAAUCAUGCUGCCAAACUAAGCUCACGCACAUUGUCACACGUCACUCUAUCCACUUUAUGCGAUAGAUCGGAGAAGCAAGCACUUAGACAUUCUACGCUAUAUUCUCCUCGAAGUAAAUCGUCGAAUGCCUAGUGAGCAAAAUUAAAACAACACUGCAGAAACUUAACAAAGAAAACGAAAUUUUAUUAAUAUUUCAAGUAUAAGUACUAUUAGUACCAAUUACAAUGCUUAGCACAACUCAUUGAUCCUAACUCAAAACAAUACACGGACUUCUUCGGCUAACUCUUACAUGUUAUACAAAUAGACAGUUGUGACUAUUGCGAUCAAGGGACACAACAGGUGAUCAAAGUUGCAAGUUCAACAAUGAAUGUCCUUCUCUACCUAGGGGGACAAAAAUAAAACAAAACAUUUGAAAAUGUUAGACUAAAAUUGUAACAACCUAACUCUUUAUUCUAAGUUGAGGUCAUUAUUCAAAAUAUAAAGAUCAAAAGACACUUUCUUGAAAAGAGGAAAAAUAAAAUUUUAACGAAAUUUAUAUUAAAUAAAUAUUUGAAAGACAUAAAAUUUGAAAAUUCAGUAAAUACUGUAAAAACAUGACUCGUGCAAGUAAUAGUUUUUUUAAAUAAAAUAAAUGUAAAUAAAUAUGUCUAAAAAUAACAUGCUGAAAAAGUGAUAUAUAAAUGCGAAAGCAGAACUGUGUUCCCAUAUGACAUGUCACGGAUCCUUUUUGUCGCUUACCAGUUUUUUGAAUGAUCUACCUUUGUAUGAAAUAUUAAACAUAGGAAAGAGUGAGUAUAUAAAAUAUACCCAGUAAGGGACUCAGUACUAGCUCUGCUAGAAGUUUGUUAACUUCCCACUAAGGUUUCAUGAGGAGGUACCCGAAACUAUCGUGUGUCCGAUGGAACAUACACAAUCUUGUGAUCUCAAAUGAACACUCUCAUUUGUCAGUGAUCCAAAGGAACACCUAUGAUAUUGGGUUGUAACUAUCGUGUGCCUGAUGGAACACAUGCAAUCUAGUGUCUUGGAGGAACACUCUCAUUUAUCGAUGACCCGUCUGACCACUUAUAAACAUAAACAUGACAGACUAGUGGUCCCAUCAAGCUCACACAGUCCUAAAUUUGUGAAAAGGUGGUGAUUCUGAGAGACACCCAUAUGGGUACAAUCUUAAUAGACAGUUAAGAGAACACCCAUCCAUAGCAUGUAACAUCAUCACAAACAUGACAUGAAUAUUAAUCAUAACGUCCUUAAUCAUGUGAUUAAUAUAUCAUAUAUCAUAAAUAUUAUAAACAUAUUAGUCAUAUCGGUCAUAACAUAUCGGUCAUAACAUAUCGUUCAUAUCAGUCAUCCAUAUCAGUUAUCUAUACCAGUCAUCCAUAUCAGUCAUCAUUAUUACGCAUUUUAGCUACAUCAAUGCAUAAUGAAAAAUACAUUCAAACUCUUAAUUUUAAGCUCGAAGGCCUAGUGGUAGAAUCUCUUACCUAAGAGAUUAGUCAAACAAAAUACUCCCUACAAAAAAUUCUUCAAUUAAAUUGAUCCUAAUCAUAAAAGAAAAUUUCAGUAUCUUAAUUAAUAAAAUUAACAAUUGGCGUAUCCAAAAAAUUCUUUCAAAUUAACUUACCUAAAAUUGAGGUUGAAACCAAUUCAUCCUUGAUGAGAAAGAUUUGUCAUUUAAAUCUUCAAGAUUUGUGAAAUGGACUUUCGAAAUGCAUGCAACCAAAAUCAAUUUUAACAUGAGGAAUCUUUUCUUUUUCUAUUUCUCUUUUCAAUUUUCUCUUUACAUACUCAAAUAAUAAUAUUUAUCAUUAUUAUUCUUUUUUCCUUUUAGGAUAUAUAUAUAAUACCAAUAUAUACAUAUAUUUUUAUUCUCAUUAUCUUUUCUUAAUCAAAUCCUUAAAUGCACAAAAUCUUAGGCAUUUAUAAUCAAUAAUGAUGAUCGCUAUCCUCUCACCAAAAGAUGAUCACUAUUAUCUCACCAAAAGAUAUAAUAGAUAUAUAUUUAUUUAAAUCAUUAUUGUCUCUCUUAAUUAAAUAUAUCUUAUUUUCUCGUCCAAUCAAAUCAACAAUCUCUCUCCUCAUGGAUUAUCUUAUUUUUCAAACAAUUAUAAUUAUACUCUAUCAUGUAAUUAACUUUACUUUUCCAUAUUAAUUAUUUAUACAAAAUCAAAUAAUUAAUAUCAUAUUCAACCAAAAUCAAAAAUCUUAAUUAAAUAUAUAUAUCCAUAUAUAAAUACUUAAUUAAUUCGAAUACCACUAGAACCAACUUUUUAUGUCCCUAGCUAUCCAGCCAGUUUGACCCUUUAAAUGGGAGACAUAUUGGGCCAACGUUGAUGAACCUGCCCCACCUAUAUAGAUCUAAUGAUAAUCCCUUGAGAAUAAGAGUUCAUAUAGUUAGUUCAGGAUUAAGGUUAAGUUACAUAGGUCAUCAAAUUAAAAGAAGUAGUCAUUUUCAAAACGCAAAUGGUGUUAUAACGUAAAAGUGACUAUUUAAUGGUUCGGUCUUAUGAAAACUCUUUACAUGUGAUGUCCACACUUUCAUGUAUUUACAUGAACGAGUCAGGAUCACAUCGUUUGUACUAACUACAAAGCAUGUCACAUCCAUAGUGUUACCAAAAUAAGGCACCUAACCUUAUUCAUACUAUAAACCAUUUAGAUUAUAAACUUGAACUUGAUCCACAUUUAUGUCUUUAUAUAAAGUUCAAGUCUAUAAGAUAGCUUUGAGACAUUAAUUUAUUGGAUUCAAGAUUAUAGUAUUCUAUUUCACUGAUAAAUAAUUCAAUAAUCAAAUUGUUGAACGUAGUUUACAAACUAUGAGUUUUUAUACGAGUUUUUAGAACAUAAAAUCCAACAAAUAAAAAAUCAAAUGAAAGCAAAAUGUAAAUUAAAUUAAUAAGAAAUGUACUUACUUUAGAGCUUUCAUCAAUCUUUUUCUUUUCCUUGAUUUAUUGACUGAACAUUUAGCUUUUUCAAUUUUUCUGGAUAGUUUUUUACUUUUCAUUUCUUGUUUGAUCUUUCUAUUUUUACAAUAGACACAAUAAAACAUAUGAUAAAAUCAUUUAGUUUGUAUAGCUAUCAGAGGGUCAUUGAGGUUAUCACACAUGCUACUCAAAAUUUAAAACAACAAAUAAUAGGAAUCAGAUGGCAAUCAUACAAAAAUCGGAAGGUAAUAUCGGUUAGAAAGUUAAAGAUGAGCACAAAAUGGGAUAACAAAUAACACUACUACAAAAAUGAGUUUACUUGACGCUAGCAACUUUUACAUACUUGACGUUUUUAUUAAAAAAACGUCAAGUAUGAACUAUGUUAAAGAAAAAACGUCAAGUAUAGUCUUAAAAAAUAUGAAGUUUUCACGAAUUUUUUUUAAUUAUUUUAUGUUAGCUUUAUUUGACGUUUUUUUUUUUUUUUUUUUUUUGCGUCAAGUAUAAAGUAGAUUUUACUUGACAUUUUAUUCGAGUUAAAAGUAGUGAACAUUUACUUGACACAAAAAACAUGUCAGGUAUGGUUUUAAAAAAGAAAAUUUUUACGUUAACUUUUAUAUGACAUGGUUUUCGCGUCAAAUAUAAUGGAGAUUUAUUUGACAGUUUAUUCGCGUCAAAUAUAGUGGAGAUUUUACUUGACGUUUUUUUCGUGUCACGUAUAGUGGACAUUUACUUGACGCGAAAACAACGUCAAAUAUAGUUAACAUUUUUUAUUUAACACUUUUAAAAUGUCAAUUGCCAAAAUGUCAUAUAAAACGUUUAAAAAUAUGAAAAUAAAAAGUAUAAAAAUCAACUUAUUAAAAUAAUUUUUUAAAAUCAACUUAUUAAAAUAAUUUUUUUAAAAUCAACUUAUGAAAAUAAAUCUUUUGAAAUUUUUCACUUAAAUAAUUUGAAAUCUCUCAUUAAAUUAAAUUUACUAAAAUCUCUCGUUAAAAUAAAUUUGUUGAAAAUUUUCCUUUAAAUAAAAUUAUUGAAAAUAUUUCCUUAAAUAGAUUUAUUAAGAUAUUUUAAUGAAAAACUCAAUAAAUAAAUUUAUUAAAAUAUUUUAAUAAAAUAUUAUUAAAUAAAUUUUUUGAAAUCUUUCACUAAAACAAACUUUUACAAAUUUUUGACUAAAAUAAAUUGGUUGAAAUCUUUACUUAAAUUAAAUUUAUUAAAAUCUUUCUUUUAAAUAAACCUAUUGAAAAUAUUUUAUUUAAAUAAAUUUAUUGGAACCAUUUCUUUAAAUAAAUUUAUUAAAACAUUUUAAUGAAAAGUUUAUUAAAAUACUUUAAUAAAAAAUUGUUAAAUAUUUUUUUUGAAAUUUAUCACUAAAAUAAUUUUUUGAAUUCAUUAAAAUAAGUUUAUUGAAUCUUUCCUUUAUAACAAUUUUAUUGAAAAUAUUUUAUUAAAAUAUUUUAUACAAAAUUUAUAAAUAAAUUUAUAUAUUUUAAUGAAAUCUUAAGUAAAUUUAUCAAAGUAUUUUGAUGAAAUGCUUAUUUAAUAAAUAUUAAAAUAUUUUAAUGAAAACAUUAUUAAAUGUAUUUGUUAAAAACUUUAACGAAAAUAUUAUGAAAUAAAUUUAUUAAAAAAAUUAAUAAAAAAAUAAUUAAAUAAAUUUAUUGAAAUCUUUCAUUAAAAUAUUUUACCAAAACAGAUUUGUUGAACUGUUUCACUAAAUAAAUUUAUUUAAAUAUUUCAUCAAAGAAAUUCAUUAAAAUAUUUUAUUGAAAUGAUUAUUAAUGAAAUUUAUUGAAACAUUUUAAUAAAUUUUAAAUGGAUCAACUUUUUGGAUUGUUUAGUUUUUAGUUUGUAGUGUAGAUUAAUAAUAGAUCCAAUUUAUUGGUAUAUCUCCAUAAUUAUUUACUUUUACACAUCAUUUAUCACUACUCACAUAAAAAAAAUUACAAAUUUUGUGACAUGAUUAGACAAUUUGAUAGACAAAAAUAGGUGAUAUCCAGGAGAUGCAUAUCUAAAUAUUGUGUUGGUAAGUGAUAUAAUAUUAAGUUCUCGCACAUCAACUUGAUUUUAUGAAGUUUUGUUUAAUAAAAAAAUCAUUUUAUUAAAGUGAGCAUAUAUAACUCAAUUCAGUUAUUUACCAAAAAAAUUAAAAUCAAAAUAAUUUAGGGUUUCAUUUUUCUUUUUUUGUUUCUUUUUAUGGAAAGAUUGAAGAUCUUGGAAACCUAAAACAUAAUUUAAGAAAAUUGUUUAAUGAUAGCGAAAAUUAAGAAUAAAUUAAUAAAAACAAAUAAAUUGAAACAAAAACUCACAAACCGCUCUAUUUAAUUUUUUUUAAAAUGAUAUAAUUAAAAAAAAUAUUAUCAAAAACUAAGAAAUAAAGAAAAAUAAUAAUAAUAAUAAAUUGAAAACAAGGUACAAAUCCAUUGUUUUCUAAUUUUCACCCUUUCAACUUAUUUUCUAUUAUCAAUUCCUAAUUUCUCCUAUAAAAACCUUCUUUCCUAAUUCAAAAAAUAUUCAUCAUCUCAAAUCUUUAUAUUCUCAUGAUCAAUCCAUGGAUCUUUCUCAAAAGUUAACAAAAACUCAUGUAAUUUUCUUUCCUUUUUAAUGUUUCUUUCAUUUUUUUCUAUAGAAAUUUUCAUGUUGAUUAUUAAAAAUGAUUAGUGGGCUUUUUUUUCAACUUCCUCAAUAACACUUCUUUCCUUUUAUAUAUUGUUAAAAAAGGUAUCCAAUGAAAAGAUGAAAAAUUUAUUGCUUUUCAAGUUUUAACCUUAAAACAAUAUAUAUGGAAAAAAUUUAUAUUUAUAUAUUGUUAAAAAAGCUUGUUUUAUUUUAUAUUUAUAUAUGAAAAAAAUAAUUUUUUGAAAAGUUUAUCAAAUAUAUUUAUUGAAAUAUUUUAAUUAAAUUUAUUAAAUUCAUUUAAUUAAAAAUAUCAAGUAAAUAUAUUAAAAUCUUUUAUUUCCCUAUUUUUAGUAAUCCCUCACGUCUCCACGAUGAAACCCUAUUCUCAUCUCCACGCUUCCACACAACACAGGCGAACGACCACUUCUUCGAAUCGACGGACGACUUCCACACAACACAGAGUGGCAAACGGCGAAUGACUUCCACACGACGAACGCUUCCACCCUGCGAACAGCUUCUACCCGGCGAACAGCUUCAACCCGUUGCGAACAGCUUCAACCCGACGAACGGCUUCCACGCAGCGAACAACUUCCACAGUGAACGGCUUCCACGACUGCGAACAUCUUCCGCACGGCGAACUGCUUCCGCGUUCAAAGGUUUUUAUGCUCCUCAUUCUUAUUGUAUUUAACAUUUUUCAAUGAAUAAUGCUCCCUUGAAUUUGAUUUAUAUCUUGUAAUUAAGGAUGAUAUUGUAAACCCAAAGUGAGAAAAACACAAAGAGAAGAAAAUUGAGAAUGACUCUCGUAUAUUUAUAUUUAUUUGUGUUAUAUGUUUAUGUUGUUUAUGUUCAAAUUCGUAAACAAAUGGUAUAAUCUAAUUGACAAAUCGAGAAGACCAUCAUUUUUCUUUAUUGUUGUUUUUUUUACAGGAAUGAGUAAUGAAAAAUUAAGGGUGACUCUUGGAUGUUUUAGACCGUAAUUAAUUUGUUGUCGUUAUGGUUAUAAUUAUCAUAUUGAUUUGUUUAUAGUAAUGAGUAAUGAAUUGGUAUAUUUACUCUUGGUAAGAUUCAUACUUUUGAAUGCCAUUUUUUUUAUAGUAAUGAGUAAUGAAUUGAUCUUGUGUGCAUCAUCAUAUCCCAAUUACACAUGCAUCUUGGAAGCUGGUGUCGACUGAGUUGAAAGAAAAAGUAUACAAUAUGAUUGAGGUAUGUAAUCAUCCUUCUCAUUUGGAAAUCAUGCAAAUACUACACACUUAUUGUAUAUUUUGAGUCAUACUAUCUUGUGGUUAUCCUGUAGCCUUGGUAGCCCCGUAGCAUUGGUAGCCAAUCAUGUAUAUAUUACACAGUUAUUGUAUAUUUUAAGUUGUAUUAUGUGUGGCUAUCCUGCUAUGGUAGCCAAUCAUGCAUAUAUUGGUAAAUGUAAAUAUAUUUAUAAAAUAAUUUUUAUUUUAAUCUAGCACAUAAUAUAAUAUAUAUGCAUUGUUAAUUGGUUGUGUUAUAGUGUUCUUUACAAGUAGGUACGGUUGAAUGUGGAUAUUAUGUCAUGAGAUACAUGCAAGAAAUUGUGACUAAGGACACAAACAUUAUCACUGGUGCGGUAUGUUUUUAAACUAUUUACAUUAUAAAGUUAUAGAUAGUAUAUUAUGACUAACUCAAAUAUUUUACAAAGUGUAUCCUACUUUUUAUGUUUUAUAGAUUGAUACAAGAAGCCCAUACACACAGCUUGAAUUGGAUAGACGAGGGGAGUGGGCUGGAUUUUUAGCUCGGUACAUAUGAUAGACACACCUAGAUAUGAUCAUGUUAAUUUUGUAAAUGGCUAAGAUAUGUGAAUGCUCAUAACCUUUUUGUGGAAACGUUUUGUUCAUAGCCAUUAUGAGGGCAAAAGAUAUAUGGGGAUAGACUUCAAUUUUGAUUAUAUAAGACAACUAUUAUCAUUUAAUAUUUUGGAAUAGGACACAUAUAGGAAAUUUUAGUUGGCUAUAUUGGAUUGGAAUUGUGUAAUUGUUGAUGACAUUGUUGAGAAUAAUGAAAUUAUUGUUGGUUUACAUAUUAUACUAAACUUUUUGUCCUUUUUUUUGUUGUGUAAUUGUUCGUUGGAGAAUUUGUUUUGUUUAUGGAUAUGUCUUAUUGAAGUAAAUGUAUGUAAUGCAGGAAAUAAAAAAUGAAAAAAGAAAAAUUUAGUAUAUUUAAUAUAUUAAUAAAUGGUAUACAUGACAUUAAAUACAUGUCACAUAUACUAUCUUAUUUGAGUUAAAUAUACCAUUUUACUUGAUGGAUAUAUAGUGUCAACUAUAAAAUUUUACUUGACAUAUACAUAAUGUCAAAUAUACUAUCUCACUUGACAGGUAAAUAGAGUCAAAUAUAUAUCUUACUCGACUUGUAAAUAGUGUCAAGUAUACUAUCUCACUUGACAGGUAAAUAGAGUCAAGUAUAUAAUUUACUCGACGUGUAAAUAUUGUCAAGUAUACUAUCUUACUUGACACAAAAAUGAUGUCAAGCAAUAGAGUACUUGACGUUUUUUUAGUGUCAAGUAAUAGAACUAUACUUGACAGUCGAUUACUUGACGCUUUUUAAAACGUCAAGUAUAGAUUUACAUGACACUGUAUUAAUGUCAAGUAAUUCAAUUUUUGUAGUAGUGUAAAAUAGAUGAUAAAAUCAUUUAGACCGUAAAGUAAUGACAAGACAAUCAGAGGGCUAUCCCACGUGCUGCUCAAAUUUAAACCAACCAAUAGAAAUUAGCUAGAAAAUUAAAGAAGACAACAAAAUGGGAAAACAAAUAUAUAAUAGAAAAAUUGAUUCACAUGACAAAAAUAUUUAGAAAUUAAAAGGGACACUUGCAAAAAUGACAAAAUAAGUUAUAAUAAUUAAGUUCAUAUCACACAUAUUUUAUUAUUUACAAAAAUGACAAAAACGAAGUCCAGCCCACACAUCAAGAAGUAAAGUGUCACAAAUGCUCUCGUUACUAAUAUACGUCUGAUACACCUUAUACACGCUUGUUACACCUAAUACACGUCUGAUAUACUCUUUGAUACACCUAAUACAUUUGAUUGAUAAACUUAAUGCACCUGAUACUCUUUGAUACACUCGAUACUGAAACAUACUAAUAUAUGUUUGAUACACACGAUACACUGCAUAUACAUUUAGUAUUCUUCACUUAUACAAUUGAUUGAUUAAAUGCACUUGAAAUGCUUGAAGUCCUUAUUAUACACUUGAUAUACUAUUGAUAUACACUUGUAAACUCGAUUCAUAUACUUGAUAAUGAUUCACUUUACUGAUAUGUUUUAACAAUAUAUUGUUGAUGUACUUGAUAAUGAUACACUGAGUUACAUCAUUCAUAUACUUAAUAAUACUCUAAUGAACUGCAUAAAAUUUGAAAAAAUGAAAACACGUAGUAAGUAUAUUAACCAACUAAUACAUAUAAACAACACUGACAUACAAAACUGAGACAAAGUAAAACAAAAAUAUUAAUGUAAGAAAAUAAAAAAAUAAUCAUUGGAAUCAAAUUCAACUCAAAAUACACAUCGAAGAAAGUAAAAAAAAUCACAAAUGGAGUUAAAUUACUCUAAUUAACAACCAUUAUAUUAUAUUAUUCAUAUUACAAUUAUUGUACUAUUGAUAUUUUAAAAUUAAGACUAAGAUAGAAAGAAUAAAGAAUUUUUCUAAUAUAAGAAUAAACAAAUAAUUAUGGCCUUAAAAAGUGGAAGCAUAGAUAAAUAGUAAGUAGGACAUUAAAAAGAUGAAGGGAAAUAAGUUAUUGAAGAGUAGUUUAUGAAUAAUAUUAAAUUUAAGAUGGAGAAGUGAAAUUUUUGCCAUAUUUACAAAAUUCGAAAACAAUGUGCUAUAAUUGUUAUAUCAUAUUCUCAAAAUGCUAUCCUAUGCAAUUUCCCAAUUUAAAAAAAGUUCAUGAUAUCUCUUUUUUGUAUAUUACAAAUAUGACAAAUAUUACCAGCAAUUAGUGAUAUCUGGUUAUCAGAUAACUAUCAAAUCACUAUUAAAGGAUUAUCAAAGGGCUAUUAGGAAGUUAUCGGUUUUUAAGUUUGCUAUUUUUACAAUUUAGAAAAUAUAGUACUAUUGACUCUAUUAUCCUAAAUUGUUUUGCUAUUUUUGCAAACACUCCUAUAGAAUAUGAGCUGCAAACAAAAAGAACAACAAAUACAAACAUAAACAACCAAAAUUUCUUCAACUACUCAAAUGGAAACCAAAUGUAAUCAAUAUAUAGAAAUAGGUUUGCAAUUAGUUAACCUUCAUUUUUUUUACUCCAACUACACACUGAUUUUGAACAAUACCUCAUGCAGAGAAUGAGAUCACAAAUAUAAACAAUAACAACUAAAAUUACUCCAUCUAAAUACUCAAAUGGAAACCAAAAUUUAAUCAAUAUAUAGAAAUUAGUUGGCAAUUCGUUAGAAAUCUCAUGUUUGAACGGAUUAAAAUGAAUGGAUUAAAGAAACUAUGGUUUCUGAGAUACAUGUAGAAGAAGAAAAAAGAAGAAGAGAUAUACCUCAUGUUAAUUCGGAAGUUAUUAACGAGGAGAAGAGAAGAAGAGUAACCGAAGAGAAAAGCUAGGGACGUUGGAGAGAAGAAGUAGCUUGAAAGAAAGAAGGAAUAAAGUUGACGUUGAAAUCAUAAAGAUUGUAAUUAAUUUGUAAAUUAUAAUAGUUGAAAACGCUAAAUAUAUAUUAUAGUUCGACAUGCAAACAAUGGGAGUGAGCUAUAGAUCACUCGAAGAUGUGAUUCAAAAAAAUUAGACAGUGUUUAGAAAUCAAAAUAGAAUGAGGUUACGAAUCAUAAUUUUUGUUAUGCUUUACAAGAGGUGAAAAGCUGAAAGGUUUCCUAAUGAGGUAUUGUUAGGUGGAGAGAGCUAAUUAAAUUGGUAUCAACAAACCAGCACUAAGAUUAGUUUAAACAUUUUGAUUAAAAUAUAUAGUUAGUGGGGGAAACAAAGAGUGCAUUCAUAAUCUGCGGUCACAAAAGUGUUAAAAAAAUGAUCAAAGUUGGCCAAAUUAUUGAGUGGGCGGUAGUUCAAAUCGUUCCUAAAAUAGUCAUCUAAAUUUCUCUAUAAAAUGCUUCUCUUAGCUUUAAGAUUUGAUCACAAUUAGUACAAAACAAGAAAAUGAGCCAAAGUGAUAGCAUUUGGGUAAAAGUUCACCUAAAAUCUUCCAUCGAGAAGUUCUAUGGGUUCUUCAGGAACCAUAUGGAGGAUUUGGUCAAUAUGUUUCCUGAGCAAUUUAAGAGCUUCGCAUUUGUUGAAGGUCAAAGUUUAUCUGCUGAUACUGUUGUACAGUUGGAAUACAACCUUGGUGAGUAUGAUGAUUUCUAUUCUCCAUUCUUCUUCUAGAUAUUUAUAUUUAGGCUUAAUUGUCGAGCACUCUUUAUUGUUUUUAAAAUAACCAUUUUAAAACUCAAUGAAUAACCGAUUAACACAUAAUUUAAGACAUCUUAAGACUAUAUAUAUAUAUAAUUAAUUAAUUUAUAACUAAAAUAUUUUUUUUAAAAGUUUGGAAGUUGCAUAUAUAGCAUUCAAGCCAGACUAUUAUUUACUGGUAUAGCUUAAUGCAAAAUGGUUUGUAAAUAUAGCAAAAUUUAGAUCCAGAUCACGAUAUCUAUCAUUGAUAAACCAUAUCGCUAAUAGGAACUUGAUCUAUAAUAUACUAUAUAUAUAGUAGUAAGAGUCUAUGAACAAUAGAAUUAUUAUAUUUAUAUAAUUUUCUAAAAGUGGUUGUAGUAUUAUUUUUUAAGUACUACUUAUUAUGAUUACCCUAUUUUAAAGUUGAGGGACUAGUUUGAAACAUUGAAUAUUUUAUUCUUUGUGCACGAAGAUAUAUAUAGUCUUAAUUAUAUAGUCAUUGUAAAGAGAAAUUGUUUUAAAUGACAACUUUUGAAAAUAUUUACAAAUAUAACAAAAUAUUACAAUCUAUCUCUGAUUAACCAAGAUAGACUACUAUUUGUGUGUAUCGUCAUAUAUAUAGGCAUACAAAUGAUCAUAUAUCUUGGUUUAUCACGUAAUAGAUAGUUGAUAUUUUACUAUAAUUUAUACAUACCUUAUAUCAUUUGGUUGCAUUUGAAAAUAAGUCUAACUAUUAUCUAUAUAGUAGAAAUUAAACAAAAAUAAAACGACAUAUCAAGGGAUCAUAAAUAAUAAUUUUGCAUAACACUAUACAUAUGUUCACUACAUAUUUGGUUAAGUAAAGAACAAAAAGUAAUUAAAGAUCAGCGGGUUUAAUAUAUUUUGGAUGUGAACAAACAGGAAGUCAUCAAUUAUUAACAGCAAACAUAAAGCUAAAAGUGGUGGAUGAUAUGAAGAAAUACAUAAUUUAUGAGGCUGUUGAAGGAGAUGUGCUAAAGAAUUACAAAGUGUUCACUACGAGACUUGAAGUUGUUAAUGGAAGCUUAAGCAAAGUUGGAGGAGGAAGCUUUGCAAAAUGGACUAUUGAUUUUGUGAAGGCAAAUGAAAAUGUGCCUUCACCUGAAAACUACUUGGAAAUGUUUAUCAACAUGUCCAAAGGUGUUGAUGCUUAUUUUUCCAAGAACCAAAAGCCCUAAAUUACUCAAGCUGUGUAACCUAAAGUUUGGAGACUUUCUACUUGGCUUGUUCUUAAAAUAAGAAAAUGGAUGCAAUCACUACUACAAAAAUUGAAUUACUUGACAUUAAUACAGUGUCAUGUAAAUCUAUACUUGACGUUUUAAAAAGCGUCAAGUAAUCGACUGUCAAGUAUAGUUCUAUUACUUGACACUAAAAAAACGUCAAGUACUCUAUUGCUUGACAUCAUUUUUGUGUCAAGUAAGAUAGUAUACUUGACAAUAUUUACACGUCGAGUAAAUUAUAUACUUGACUCUAUUUACCUGUCAAGUGAGAUAGUAUACUUGACACUAUUUACAAGUCGAGUAAGAUAUAUAUUUGACUCUAUUUACCUGUCAAGUGAGAUAGUAUAUUUGACAUUAUGUAUAUGUCAAGUAAAAUUUUAUAGUUGACACUAUAUAUCCAUCAAGUAAAAUGGUAUAUUUAACUCAAAUAAGAUAGUAUAUGUGACAUGUAUUUAAUGUCAUGUAUACCAUUUAUUAAUAUAUUAAAUAUACUAAAUUUUUCUUUUUUCAUUUUUUAUUUCCUGCAUUACAUACAUUUACUUCAAUAAGACAUAUCCAUAAACAAAACAAAUUCUCCAACGAACAAUUACACAACAAAAAAAAGGACAAAAAGUUUAGUAUAAUAUGUAAACCAACAAUAAUUUCAUUAUUCUCAACAAUGUCAUCAACAAUUACACAAUUCCAAUCCAAUAUAGCCAACUAAAAUUUCCUAUAUGUGUCCUAUUCCAAAAUAUUAAAUGAUAAUAGUUGUCUUAUAUAAUCAAAAUUGAAGUCUAUCCCCAUAUAUCUUUUGCCCUCAUAAUGGCUAUGAACAAAACGUUUCCACAAAAAGGUUAUGAGCAUUCACAUAUCUUAGCCAUUUACAAAAUUAACAUGAUCAUAUCUAGGUGUGUCUAUCAUAUGUACCGAGCUAAAAAUCCAGCCCACUCCCCUCGUCUAUCCAAUUCAAGCUGUGUGUAUGGGCUUCUUGUAUCAAUCUAUAAAACAUAAAAAGUAGGAUACACUUUGUAAAAUAUUUGAGUUAGUCAUAAUAUACUAUCUAUAACUUUAUAAUGUAAAUAGUUUAAAAACAUACCGCACCAGUGAUAAUGUUUGUGUCCUUAGUCACAAUUUCUUGCAUGUAUCUCAUGACAUAAUAUCCACAUUCAACCGUACCUACUUGUAAAGAACACUAUAACACAACCAAUUAACAAUGCAUAUAUAUUAUAUUAUGUGCUAGAUUAAAAUAAAAAUUAUUUUAUAAAUAUAUUUACAUUUACCAAUAUAUGCAUGAUUGGCUACCAUAGCAGGAUAGCCACACAUAAUACAACUUAAAAUAUACAAUAACUGUGUAAUAUAUACAUGAUUGGCUACCAAUGCUACGGGGCUACCAAGGCUACAGGAUAACCACAAGAUAGUAUGACUCAAAAUAUACAAUAAGUGUGUAGUAUUUGCAUGAUUUCCAAAUGAGAAGGAUGAUUACAUACCUCAAUCAUAUUGUAUACUUUUUCUUUCAACUCAGUCGACACCAGCUUCCAAGAUGCAUGUGUAAUUGGGAUAUGAUGAUGCACACAAGAUCAAUUCAUUACUCAUUACUAUAAAAAAAAUGGCAUUCAAAAGUAUGAAUCUUACCAAGAGUAAAUAUACCAAUUCAUUACUCAUUACUAUAAACAAAUCAAUAUGAUAAUUAUAACUCAUAACGACAACAAAUUAAUUACGGUCUAAAACAUCCAAGAGUCACCCUUAAUUUUUCAUUACUCAUUCCUGUAAAAAAAACAACAAUAAAGAAAAAUGAUGGUCUUCUCGAUUUGUCAAUUAGAUUAUACCAUUUGUUUACGAAUUUGAACAUAAACAACAUAAACAUAUAACACAAAUAAAUAUAAAUAUACGAGAGUCAUUCUCAAUUUUCUUCUCUUUGUGUUUUUCUCACUUUGGGUUUACAAUAUCAUCCUUAAUUACAAGAUAUAAAUCAAAUUCAAGGGAGCAUUAUUCAUUGAAAAAUGUUAAAUACAAUAAGAAUGAGGAGGCAUAAAAACCUUUGAACGCGGAAGCAGUUCGCCGUGCGGAAGAUGUUCGCAGUCGUGGAAAGCCGUUCACUGUGGAAGUUGUUCGCUGCGUGGAAGCCGUUCGUCGGGUUGAAGCUGUUCGCAACGGGUUGAAGCUGUUCGCCGGGUAGAAGCUGUUCGCAGGGUGGAAGCGUUUCGUCGUGUGGAAGUCAUUCGCCGUUUGCCACUCUGUGUUGUGUGGAAGUCGUCCGUCGAUUCGAAGAAGUGGUCGUUCGCCUGUGUUGUGUGGAAGCGUGGAGAUGAGAAUAGGGUUUCAUCGUGGAGACGUGAGGGGAUUACUAAAAAUAGGGAAAUAAAAGAUUUUAAUAUAUUUACUUGAUAUUUUUAAUUAAAUGAAUUUAAUAAAUUUAAUUAAAAUAUUUCAAUAAAUAUAUUUGAUAAACUUUUCAAAAAAUUAUUUUUUUCAUAUAUAAAUAUAAAAUAAAACAAGCUUUUUUAACAAUAUAUAAAUAUAAAUUUUUUCCAUAUAUAUUGUUUUAAGGUUAAAACUUGAAAAGCAAUAAAUUUUUCAUCUUUUCAUUGGAUACCUUUUUUAACAAUAUAUAAAAGGAAAGAAGUGUUAUUGAGGAAGUUGAAAAAAAAGCCCACUAAUCAUUUUUAAUAAUCAACAUGAAAAUUUCUAUAGAAAAAAAUGAAAGAAACAUUAAAAAGGAAAGAAAAUUACAUGAGUUUUUGUUAACUUUUGAGAAAGAUCCAUGGAUUGAUCAUGAGAAUAUAAAGAUUUGAGAUGAUGAAUAUUUUUUGAAUUAGGAAAGAAGGUUUUUAUAGGAGAAAUUAGGAAUUGAUAAUAGAAAAUAAGUUGAAAGGGUGAAAAUUAGAAAACAAUGGAUUUGUACCUUUUGUUUUCAAUUUAUUAUUAUUAUUAUUUUUCUUUAUUUCUUAGUUUUUGAUAAUAUUUUUUUUAAUUAUAUCAUUUUAAAAAAAAUUAAAUAGAGCGGUUUGUGAGUUUUUGUUUCAAUUUAUUUGUUUUUAUUAAUUUAUUCUUAAUUUUCGCUAUCAUUAAACAAUUUUCUUAAAUUAUGUUUUAGGUUUCCAAGAUCUUCAAUCUUUCCAUAAAAAGAAACAAAAAAAGAAAAAUGAAACCCUAAAUUAUUUUGAUUUUAAUUUUUUUGGUAAAUAACUGAAUUGAGUUAUAUAUGCUCACUUUAAUAAAAUGAUUUUUUUAUUAAACAAAACUUCAUAAAAUCAAGUUGAUGUGCGAGAACUUAAUAUUAUAUCACUUACCAACACAAUAUUUAGAUAUGCAUCUCCUGGAUAUCACCUAUUUUUGUCUAUCAAAUUGUCUAAUCAUGUCACAAAAUUUGUAAUUUUUUUUAUGUGAGUAGUGAUAAAUGAUGUGUAAAAGUAAAUAAUUAUGGAGAUAUACCAAUAAAUUGGAUCUAUUAUUAAUCUACACUACAAACUAAAAACUAAACAAUCCAAAAAGUUGAUCCAUUUAAAAUUUAUUAAAAUGUUUCAAUAAAUUUCAUUAAUAAUCAUUUCAAUAAAAUAUUUUAAUGAAUUUCUUUGAUGAAAUAUUUAAAUAAAUUUAUUUAGUGAAACAGUUCAACAAAUCUGUUUUGGUAAAAUAUUUUAAUGAAAGAUUUCAAUAAAUUUAUUUAAUUAUUUUUUAUUAAUUUUUUUAAUAAAUUUAUUUCAUAAUAUUUUCGUUAAAGUUUUUAACAAAUACAUUUAAUAAUGUUUUCAUUAAAAUAUUUUAAUAUUUAUUAAAUAAGCAUUUCAUCAAAAUACUUUGAUAAAUUUACUGAAAGAUUUCAUUAAAAUAUAUAAAUUUAUUUAUAAAUUUUGUAUAAAAUAUUUUAAUAAAAUAUUUUCAAUAAAAUUGUUUAAAGGAAAGAUUCAAUAAACUUAUUUUAAUGAAUUCAAAAAAUUAUUUUAGUGAUAAAUUUCAAAAAAAAUAUUUAACAAUUUUUUAUUAAAGUAUUUUAAUAUAUUUAAUAAACUUUUCAUUAAAAUGUUUUAAUAAAUUUAUUUAAAGAAAUGGUUUCAAUAAAUUUAUUUAAAUAAAAUAUUUUCAAUAGGUUUAUUUAAAAGAAAGAUUUUAAUAAAUUUAAUUUAAGUAAAGAUUUCAACAAAUUUAUUUUAGUCAAAAAUUUGUAAAAGUUUGUUUUAGUGAAAGAUUUCAAAAAAUUUAUUUAAUAAUAUUUUAUUAAAAUAUUUUAAUAAAUUUAUUUAAUGAGUUUUUCAUUAAAAUAUCUUAAUAAAUCUAUUUAAGGAAAUAUUUUCAAUAAUUUUAUUUAAAGGAAAAUUUUCAACAAAUUUAUUUUAACGAGAGAUUUUAGUAAAUUUAAUUUAAUGAGAGAUUUCAAAUUAUUUAAGUGAAAAAUUUCAAAAGAUUUAUUUUCAUAAGUUGAUUUUAAAAAAAUUAUUUUAAUAAGUUGAUUUUAAAAAAUUAUUUUAAUAAGUUGAUUUUUAUACUUUUUAUUUUCAUAUUUUUAAACGUUUUAUAUUUGACAUUUUGGCAAUUGACAUUUUAAAAGUGUUAAAUAAAAAAUGUUAACUAUAUUUGACGUUGUUUUCGCGUCAAGUAAAUGUCCACUAUACGUGACACGAAAAAAACGUCAAGUAAAAUCUCCACUAUAUUUGACGCGAAUAAACUGUCAAAUAAAUCUCCAUUAUAUUUGACGCGAAAACCAUGUCAUAUAAAAGUUAACGUAAAAAUUUUCUUUUUUAAAACCAUACCUGACAUGUUUUUUGUGUCAAGUAAAUGUUCACUACUUUUAACUCGAAUAAAAUGUCAAGUAAAAUCUACUUUAUACUUGACGCAAAAAAAAAAAAAAAAAAAACGUCAAAUAAAGCUAACAUAAAAUAAUUAAAAAAAAUUCGUGAAAACUUCAUAUUUUUUAAGACUAUACUUGACGUUUUUUCUUUAACAUAGUUCAUACUUGACGUUUUUUUAAUAAAAACGUCAAGUAUGUAAAAGUUGCUAGCGUCAAGUAAACUCAUUUUUGUAGUAGUGAAUAUAUGUAACCUAAAGUUUGGAGACUUUCUACUUGGCUUGUUCUUAAAAUAAGAAAAUGGAUGUGUAAUAUGUAAUGUGUGUCGUUUUAUGUCUGUUAUGGAUGCAUGUGUAGUUUAAUUUGGGGAUCGGAAUAAUGUAUAAUAUAUUGCAAGUACUUGUAAAAUUGAAAAUCUAUCAUUAUUGUGUGUGUGUCAAAGCUCUCAAGCGUGUGUGUCAAUAUCUCUAAUUGGCUAAUGGAUCACAACUUCAUGUAUGCAAAAUAAUUUGUUGAUCAACUUAUUAAAAUGUAUUUGGGAAUUAAGGAUAUAUCCUUUAU
This 65607-nucleotide long non-coding RNA is filed under the name Cucumis sativus (cucumber). RNAcentral's name for it is "long non-coding RNA (CSAT_LNC001056)". The record is from RNAcentral. Lineage: Eukaryota; Viridiplantae; Streptophyta; Magnoliopsida; Cucurbitales; Cucurbitaceae.